This 67755-nucleotide long non-coding RNA is filed under the name Gossypium barbadense (sea-island cotton). RNAcentral describes it as "long non-coding RNA (GBAR_LNC005702)". The record is from RNAcentral. Lineage: Eukaryota; Viridiplantae; Streptophyta; Magnoliopsida; Malvales; Malvaceae.
AAAAAAAAAAAAAGUACCCAUAAAGCUGUUUUCUUUCAUGAAUUUGACCUCUUUAACGUGGAAAACAAGGCUUUUGAAAUGAAAAAUUACAUUCCAAGCGUAAAAUCUUAGAAUCUAAUUAAGAAGUUGAAAAUGGGUGAAUAAAAGCAUACCUUUGGAUAAUCCAAGUUUCGAAUGAAAGUGAAGAAAACUUAUUAAAGAGGGGGGAAAAGCAAAUUAAAUUUUUGUUUAAAAGAAACAAAAUUCGGGUGAAGAAAACUUAUGAACAGUAAUUCUUAAGAUAGGAGAGUAAAAAAAUAACUAUAUUUAAAACCAUUUAUUAUUGGGUAUUUAACUCGUGAUGUUAAUUCACUUAGUUUUAUUAACACACCCAUUAUCUAGGCCUGCAUGGAAAAAAAAUAUUAGUAGCUUUUAAGAUUUUCCUUUUUGGUUUAAAAAAAAUCCUAAAAGAUAAAAAUAUCUUUAUAAAUUAGAAAGAAACGGCUAGGGGUGUUCAUGGGUCGAGUCGGGUUCAGUUCAGGUCUAAAUAUGAUAUUAAUAUACUUUAUACUUACUCAAGCUUGGCCCGGCCCAAUAUUUAGGCAUAAAAUUUUACUCAAAUUCGCCCAUAUUUGUAAAAGGUUAAUCCAAGCUCAUUUUAGGUCCAUCAUAUCAUUUUUAAUUUUUUUAAAAAUAUUUAUUUUAUUUCAAUAUUUAAUAUUUUUUAUAUAAUCAUUAACAUUAAUUUAAUGUUUACAUUAAAGUAGUAUUAUAUAUUUAGUGUUUUUUAAUGUGUAUUAAAUUACAUAAUAUAUUAAACUAACAUAAUAUAAAAUAUUAUAAACUUAAAACGGGCCGGGCCAAGCUCGGGGCCUUGAAUGUUCAAGCCCGAGUCUAACCCAUAUUUUAAACAGGCCUAAUUUUUUUUAUUCAUACCCAUUUUUCAAAUCUAAUAUUUUUAAUUAAAUCCUCUCAAAUUUUAAACAGGCAUUCGAGCCUAACUCAUAAACAUGUCUAGAAACCACUUUAGUUAUUAGUUUUGAGAUUAUUAUUAUUAUUAUUAUUAUUGUUUAAAGCUUCAUCCUUUUGAUCUUAUCACGCCUACGGUGUGAUGGAUCCCACGAGUAUUUUGUGUAUUUCUUUUUUACGAAAUUGAUCAUCUGGAUUUAUGAAAUUAAAUUUAAUUAUAAGAUUAUCACUGUCAUGUAUUUUUUUUUCUGUUUUGUGGUCUAUAUUGAGUAGAUUUGUCUAUGGCUCAGCUCGGUUUGAAGGUGCGUUUGAAGAGCAGAGGAUUUGGACUAAAAUAUAAGCUUAAAAAAUAGUUUUGUAUAAAAAAAAUGCCUGCUUUCCUAAUGGGUUAGGCUUUGGGUAAGUUUUUUUUUUUUUACCUCAAGCCCGACCUUACUUUGCAAAAAAAAAUGGCUGCUAUUUUUUUACUAUUUUGCCACUAUUUUUCAUUAUUUUGCUAUCAUUUUGUUAUUAUAUUGCUACUAUUUUGUGACAUUAUUUGGAUAUUAUAUAACUCUUAUUUUUUUUAUUAAUUUUACUACUAUUUUAAAAGUAUUUUCUUACUAAAUUACACUUAUCUUAAUGUUAUUCAGAUAUUUUUUUUAUUUUCUUCCAUUUGUUGGGAAAUAUGUAUUUUAAUGUUUUUUAGUAUAUUUGAUUUUUUAAAAUUUAUUUUUACAUAAAAAUAGUAUAAAAAUUUUAAUACAAAUGGGCCAGGCUUGGGAAAAUUUUUAAUCCCAUUUUUUAGGUCGGGCUCGAGAUUAGAAAAUGCACCUAAAAUUUUUAUUUGGCUCAGCUCAUGAAUAACUCUAAUUGAGAGUUUAUAGUUAUUGUUUUUAAUAAUGGUAAUUCUAAUAUUUGAAUCUACAAUUUUUUUUAAAUAUAAUAUAUUUUAGUAAUAUGCUCUAACACAUGUUUUAAAUGAAUGUAUUAUUAUGUGCAAGUAAACAUUUUAAAAUAAAAUUAACAAAUCAUCACACUUUUAUAACGUUAAAAAAUUUAAACCAUUUUAUAUGAUGGUUGCUAAAUUUAUUUGUUGUUAAUUUAAAUGAAUGUAUUAUUUUGGUGGUUUUGUGUUUGUUUGCCUGUUUUGAAAAGGUGGGUGGUGUGGGUUUCUGUUUUAAUGCGCCUCUUCAGCUGCUGUAGUUGAUGGUUGGGUAUAGAGGUGAUUAUGAGCUGGGUUGAGUUUGAGUUGGGUUUAAUUAAAAUUUUAGGCCUAUUUGUUAAGUUUAGAUUUGAUUCAGUCCAAAAAAUGAGUCUAAAUUUUUGUUCAAAUUUGACUUGGAUAAAAAUAUUAAAAUUCGGUUUCAACUUGUAUUAAUUUUUAUAUUAUUUUUUAUAUAAUUUCUUUUAAAAAAUAUAAUACAUCAAAAACAUUAAAACUAUUUGAAUAAAUAUUUCUAAAAAAAUUGAAAAUAAAUUUAAAAAACAUUAACAUAAGUGAAAUAAUAGUAAAAUAGUAAAAAAAUAGAAAAAAAGUAAAAAAACAGCAAAAAAAAAUGCAAUUAUUUUUUACAUAUUCAAGCCGGGGCCGGGCUAAAAAAUUCUUACCCGAGGCUUGGCUCAUUUUUUAAGCAGGCUUUAUUGUUUUGCUCAAAUUUAUUUCUCAAACCUAUAUUUUUACCAAAAUCCUCUCACUUUUCGAGUAAACUAGACGGCCUAGCUCAUAAGCAGGUCUAAUUGAAUGUUGUCUUAUUUUUUUUAUUAUUUUAGUAAAGAGCAGGAGUUAUUCAAAGAAAAAAAAAUAUUAAGUUAGUGAAAAACUUCAAAUACUAAAUUAGAAAAAUGAACAAGUUCAUAUAACACAAUGUUAAUUAAGUGUAAGCAUGUUACCCUCUCUACUACGUGGGUGGUAAAAAAAUUCUAUGUCUCAUAUUUUAGAAUUGUCCAUGCCUAAAUUUAGACCUAAAUCUAGAUAGAGAAUUUUUAUAUAUUAUCUUUAUUUAAGUUUUAUUUAUAUCGAAUUAAAAACUUGACAUAUUAUUUAAACCUAACCUAUAUAUUAAGUAGGGUAAUUCAAACCUAACCCUACAAAAAUUAAAGUAUUUUUUUUUUAUUUUCUCAUUAGAUUUUCCCGAUAAAAACUUUUAACAAGAUAACUAACAAUAAAAAUAAAAAAAAUAUUAUGUACUCUUCUCCUUUAUUAAAAUUUUAUUUUGCAGGCUUUUUCUUAAUAAAAUUUCAACGAUGCAUAUUUAUUCUUAAUAGAAUGACGUUAAACCGGUCAUUUAUUUAUUUUACAAAGUUGUUUUUAUUGUUUAAGUUCGGUAAGUUGUAUCUUUUUAUUACUAUUAUUUAUUAUAAGGGUUGAUAUUUGGUAUAUUCAUACUACAAUUUUUUAAUUUCACAAGUGUGAGUUAAAAAAUUACUGCAUGUCUUUUAUAUAUAUAUAUAUAUUAUUUUUUAUUAUAUCUUACACUCAUUUUUUUUUUAUUACAAAUACCCUACAUUCACUUGUCAUCACUCCAACCUACUUAUUGUUAAUAAUAUACCAAAAAUUUUCUUUUUAUUAUAUCAUUUAUAUAAAAAAUAAACAAAAUUAAUAAAAUGCAUUUUAAUUCAAAAUUGCAUUAUCAUAUACAAUAUUUUCAUGUGUAAAUGAUAUAAUUAAAAUUUUAAAUUAAAUUACUUUUAUAUAAAAUUAUUAUUUUUGUUUAUUUUAAAAUAAUUAAAUAUAGUUGAAUUAAUAUUAAAACCCUUUAUAAUAAAAUUUUAAAUAUAUCAAUAAUAGAUCAUAGAUAAAAGUGAUACCAUUAUAAAUUUAGGUUCUUUUUUAAAUAAAUUAUUGAAAAAAAUUCAAUUAUUAAUUAUUUAAUUUUUUAAAUAUGUUUCAUUUGUUUUUUUCCUCUAUUUUUUCAUUGUUUUUCUAAUUUAUUCCAAGCAUUAUUGAGAAUUGAUGAAGUUAUGAAGACGUGGAUAAUUCAGGAAUGCAUCAAAUGAAAAUUUAUCACAUGUAGAAGGCAGAGUAUCAAAAUUUCAUGAUCAAUUUAAGAGAAUUAAUAUAAAAUGAUUUAAAUUAAUUAACUUUUUAUAUAAUAUUUAUUUUUAAAAAAAUUAUAUUUAAUAAUAUAAUUUAUUCCAAAUAUUUUGUAUUUAUUGCUAGCCAUUUAAAAUUUGACAUUGUUUAAAAUAACCCACAAUAUUUGAUAUUUCUUAUGUUCGUUUUAUGAUUUAUAUUUAGUAUUCGUAGUUGUCCCUCCCAAAAAUAUCAUCUUCAAGGUUUGAACCUAAGUCCUUCUCUUGAGAGUGCAAUAUAACUUAGCAUUACACCUAACUAUUUUUUAGUUAAUUCAAUUGGUACUAUUUAGUCAUUCCUAUUACUUAUAUUUAGCAUAAAGUGAGAAAAAAUUUCGCUUAUUUUUAAAGAAGACUUAUUUUUUACAAUAGUUAUUAUUCAUCUUUCUAAUUUGAAGUUUAAAUCCAUACGAAAUAUUUUUUAUGUUACGUCUAACUAUUGUAAUAUAUAUAUAAUAAUUUUUGUUCUCAUAUUAUUAUUAUCAAAGGGCAUAAAAAUUUCAAACAUUUUAAAAUUGUCAAGUUUUAACCAAAUAUUUAUCUUCCUAAAGAAAAAAAUAAUACGACUUAAAUUUUAAUUAUUUAUAAUGAGAAGUUUCAUUUUUAUUUAUUAGAAGGAUAUUUGAGCACAUUUUUAAAAAAUGACAUUUUGGAAAGGUCAAAUUCUAUAUAAAGUCCUUAUACUAUGCAUUUGUUUCCAAUUUAGUCAUCUUCUAUAAUUUGAUAUUUCAAUUCCUUCUGCUAUUAGAAAUUUAAUCCCUUUAUUUUUUGGAAUGUAUAUUCUCAUUUAUGAGCAAAUUUUUUGUUAAUUCCAUCAAAUAAUUUGAUAUGGCAUUUUCCUUUAACAUGUAAUGACAUAACAUAAAAUACUUUACCUUUUUUGUAUAAUUAGACAAAUUUUAAUAUAUUAAAAAGGGGAAAAUGUGUAAUAUUUGGCUAACUUUACAAAAAUAGCAACAUGUUUGGAAAUAUAAGUGGGGGAAAAUUAUUUGACAAAACCUACUGAAAAAGAUUGAACUUAUAAUUAUAGUUAAGGGAUUAAAUCUGUCAAAAAUGCAUAUUACAGGCACCUUUUGUAAAAUUUUAACUUUUGGAAAAGUGAAAGAUCUAAAAUUCUUUGGUACGUUUCUCAUGGAAAUAGUCACCUUGAAAACCAGAUGAGGAAAAAGAAAGCACCAAAUAAUCCAAAACAAAAGCGCUAAAAAAAGUAAACCCAUUUCUUCUAUCCUCUCUAUUCCUCAAUUCCUUGAUUUUUUGUUCUAAAAACUAUCUGAAUUUAGAUUUUUUUUUAUUCUUUUUUGAAAAGAGAAAGGGAACUCUGUGUUUGAAACAUUGUUUACAUUGUUUUAUGGGAAAAUCAAUUGUUUGUACGACGAAAGGGCAAGACUUUGCAAAAGCAGUCCCAUCAGACAAACUUCAUACAGCAAAACACGUAAAACCCGCAUCGAGAAACAGAGUUUCUUGCCGCGAAAAGGCGGGGCGAAGUGGGGUCCGAGUCAACUCAGCGCGAGUCAAGCUGAAAGCAAUGGAUACCUGGGGUAACGACGACCGGAUUCCGCUGGCUCAGGUGGUUUCCGAGUUGGUAAAGGGAUGGUUUCAAGAGGCUCUUAAGGAGGCCAAGGCUGGUGAUACCAACAUGCAAGUCCUUGUUGGACAGAUGUAUUGCAAUGGCUAUGGUGUUCCUAAAGAUGUUCAAAAGGUCCUAUCUUUUUAUUAUUAUUAAAUUUGGUUUAUGGAAUCAACUUUUAUGUUUCUUGUAGUUGUAAAUGCUUAAAAAAGGGGUAAUCUGAUGCAUUUUGUUGCUUUUCAUGUUGGUAAUUUUUUUCCUUGCUGUUCUUUGUUUUCUUGAAACUUUUCAUGGAUUUAGUUCUUUUGUGAUAUAGCAAUUGUCUUACACAUGCUUUAAAAGGGCUAAUUUGAUUCAUUUUUCAUUUUUUUGUUGUUUUUCUUGCCUGUAUGAUUUAUUGGGACUCUUUAGUUUUAUGAUGUGUGAUUACUAACGGUCUCAAAUGUAUCAUAAAUCUCUCUAUGUUUUUUAUAUUUCUUCUAUUGAUAAACUAUUUUCACUCAUUGAAAUCCGAAACUUUACUGACCCUCUAUCAAACCUCUUGCAUUUCUCUACAAGAAAAAGGUGCUUCAUGUUACUGAAUUUGUUUCUCUAUUGGUGCUUAAUGAUACCUGAAAGGUCUCCAUGGUGUUUUCAAAUGUUUAAUUUGCUAAUAGACUACUCUUCCUUGCUGACAUUUAUGAUGCUUUAUUGUUCGGAUACUUUCAUGUAUUGUGCACUUGUUGUGAACUCCGGAAUCAUGACGGUAUUAGCUCACUAAUCGUUUCUUCUGAAAUUAGGGGCGUGCUUGGAUUAGUAAAGCUUCAAGGAGCAGAUCUUCAGUAUGGAAAGUUAGUGAUAAGCAUCCAGGUACUCUCUGUGUGUGUGCUUUUGUGAAAGUAGGGUUGUUUCUGCUUUCUAAAACGAUCUUUCUUCGGUUUCCUUCAGGUUAUAAUGCUAGUGACUCCGAUUCUGAUGAAUUGAGGGAUGAUGCAGAAUAAGUUUUGACCUGUAUUCGUUUUAAAAUCAUCCACAAAUAUGUAAGUUGUUUAUUGAUUGUUAAUAUGCUUCUUUACCUCUGCAUUACGAAUUUGCAGAUUUUUCCAAAAUGCCAUAUGUUAUAUACAUAUUAGUUCCCGAAGUUUCUUGUGCAUGAAAUAGUAAUCCUUUUUUUGAUUAAUACCGAUAAUAUUGAAUAUAAUUGCAGAUCUUACAGUAUCAGGAACGUAUACAGUGUUGAAUACCAAGCUACUCUAUCCGUUUUACCUUCUGCAAUGUAUUCUAAGUCAUGCCUCUUUAACUAGCUGCAUUUCCUUGCCAAUGGAGAGAUGAUCCCCUAUUUUUUUUGUCAUUUCUUUAACAUCUUUAUUUCACAAAGUGUUUUUAUAUUUUGCUAUUGAGAUCACAGGUUGUUGGCUUUUAGAUGUUUGUUUAAGUAUUUCUAUUAGAUGAACUUCACCUAUUGAUGCAGAAGAGUAUCAUAGAUUUGUAAGAAUCAUAUUCAUAAAAUAAAAAAAAAAUUGAUAUAAAGUUAGAACACUUUGUUUAAUGUUUGAUCAAAUUUUUUACAAUUUGCAACAAAUUAAUUAGGGUAACCCUUUAUUUCUUUAUGCUGGUUUAGAUAGAUGGUCACCUCUUCUAUGAGGGAGGGACUGUGUCAUCUGCCUUGUCGUUUGUCUUUCCUCCAUUCCCAUGGCUUCUCAGGAUUUGAUGUAGCCCAUAAACCAACUCUCUUCGCUCGAGCCUGUUUUUCCCACUAGUUUUUAUACAAAUACAUGAUGUUCAGAAUUCACAGACUAUGAUUUUAACAGACAGAAAUGGUUUAACAACCGGGUCUCAAGACGUCUCUCUCAUGCCGUCAAUGUACCGUCCUCUGUAAGCACCUAUAUGGGCAAGGACUCUCUUUGAAUCCUUAAGAGGCAGGUAGGUACUUAAAGAAAACGAUACCUUUGAUGUAAACAAAAACUGGUGGUGACAUUGAUAGCUGAAUUUCGACGUGGGAAGACAUCUGAAACCCUGGAUUGUUACAGUUGGUUACUUACAGUUGCAAGCUCUACGCGUUGGUCGUAAGCUGAGUAAUGCCAUGCGAGCCCCUUUUUCAGCAUUACUUCCUGUUUGGAAACAAGAUUAUUAGAAAAAUCUGAACUUGUUCUUAUGAGGUAAACCGGGAGAAGAAUGUUUUAUAUGAAGAAAAAAACCUGAACAAAUUUGCCAUCGCAGUAUAUAUCACCAACACAGCGGCCAUAUUGGUCUUCAUCAUAGACAAGAACUCGUAAACAUUUCCCCUGAACAAGCUUAACCAACUCUUCUUUUGCUUCUUUACCGUAUGGCAUCGAACUCUCUGGUGCAUCGAUUCCCCUGUUUCAUUGCACUGUCAUGAUAUUUAGCUGAUGGAAGAUAGACUUUCAAGAAUGGACUAAUGUUACCUUAGCCGGAUUCGAUACUUUCGAGCAAGGAUCUCUUGAUUCUGAAGAUUUAAGACCCUGGAAUUGUUAAAGAAAAUGGAUUAUUAGUUACCAUUAUAUAUGAAUCACUCAACUGAAUCUGAUCGUCUAUGGGAGAUUAAAGAGUUUGAACCUGUAUCCUGAAUCAAUAAUUUUCUUGUGAAGCUCAUCAGCUUUUGUAUAGUUCUUGGCAGCACGGGCUCUCGAUCUUUGAUCAGCUGCCGAUUGGACAUCUCGAGGUACAUUCAAUGAUUCCCUGGGAUCUGUAGUACUUACAUACACUGUUAUGGUAUCUCCAUCAGGUACUGCUUUGGUGUCCACCUAAUUUAAUCAAAGAGAAAGUUAGUUUGAAGCUAUAUUGCUGAGAAACAAAGACUUGAAGUUUCAAGAAAGACACAGAAUACUUACUGGUAAAGUCUGCAAUUCAAACUUAACUCCUUGAGGCAAUGAUGUUGUGGCGCUGGCAGAAGACUGCUGAGGAAGACCAUAGUACGCUAAUAAUCCCUAAAAACAGUUAAAAAAGAACAAACAAUGGAUUCAUUUCCCAAUUUUAAACUAAUUGGACUUGUAAGAUUUAAUGGUGUUUGCUGCAUCAUUCUACCUUAACAUCUGCCUUUUGGUGUCUCUUCAAUGUCUGAAUGACAAGGCUUGAAGCUUCCUCAGGUGUUUUUGGUGGUGGUUUUGCUUCUCUCCAAGCAUCUAAUAGCUUUCUAUACCUUUUCAGACAGACCAGAGCCACAUCGUAAUUGUUCAAAAUUGUUCGUAAAUAAUACUGUUAAAUUACUUACCAGUUAGCCUGAGCUUUCUUGGAUGAAACGACGUGAUAACUUAGCCCUUCAGGAACCUAAAAACAAAAUUUGGAAAUACAAAUAAAGGUGAAUGAUGAAAAUCAAACUAACCCAGAUUUUAUUUUUUAGCCAAUUAGGCUGAGUCAUAUCUCAAUUAUGGGUUCAUCACCCUUCACUUUUAAGGUAAUGAAAAACAUGAGAGAAAAAAAGAUACCUGAGAGGUGAUAUCAAAUUGGAAGAGAUCAUGGGAAAGAGCUGAAACUCCAUCCUUGCCUUGGGAGUCACCAGCUGUGGUUGGCUUGCAGCAAUGGCUAUACAACAAUCUCAGAGCAUUCCCCAUCUUCAAAUUCUAUCAAAUCUAAUCUUCUUUUUUCUUUUCCUGUUUUGAACGUAGCAGAGAUUCAUGACGGGAGGGAGGGAGCCUUUAACAAAGGAACGACUAAGGUCAUUGAUGGAAACGUGGCGAGGUAUGAUUGGUGGAUAAUGAUUAACUAUUUGUUCGGUUUUUUUGUUUUACUAUGAAGAUGAAGAUCUAUGAGCCAUACGCGGUUAAACUCGAAAGUCAACCAUUUUUUUUUUGUCGUAUGUUGUAAGUAACGUUUGCGUAUGAGAUAUUGCUCGGCGUAAAGCCCGGUCCAAGCUCAUGGGCUGGUUGUGCUACAUGUGGUUUUAAUUUCUAAUACAAAAAAAAUUUUAAUUCAUGCAUAAGUUCUGGAUUUUUUUUUCAAUUAAGUACUAAUGUAUGCAUAUGAAAUAUAUGUGGUUGUGUUAUAUGUAUAUAAUAUUUCUACAAUAAAAUUUGUGAAAAUUUCAAUCACAACUAACAAGUAAUAAGCUAGCUUUCUCUUAUCCCCAAUCUCCAUGGACAAUGCCAAGAGCUUCCAUGAAGAAAAAACCUUAGUCAGAUUACUUGUUAAAAGUUACAACGGCCAUUGAUAACCAUUUCAAGCUUCUUAUACGUGCUAACAAGUAAUACGUCGGCAAUGGGUGAAGAUUGAAUAGGAAAUCAAGCUAGUUUGAGAUGAUAAAUCUUCAAAGAGUGUAGAUAUGCAGGAUGAAGAUAUAGUUGGGUAUUUAUAUCUAGCAUUCUCAUUGUUUUUUUGAACAUAGUAGUAAGCUAGAACUAAUCAUGAGUCGCAUUUGGCUGGAUCGAUACAAAAUUUUAAGUUAGUUUUUAGGUUCAAGUUCAACCCGGAAAAUAAGUUUAAAAUUCUACUCAAGUUCAACUCAGAUUAAAAAUGCUAAACCAAAGUUCGACUUGGUCUGCCCGUAUUAAUUUUGUUAAGAUUAUUUUUUAUAUAAAAAAAUUUAAAAAAUAUAAUAUAUGAAAUAACUAAAAACAAUAAAAUUAAUGUUUCCCAACAAAUUAAAAAUAUAUUUUUUUAAAAAAAUUAUACUCAAAAUAACACUAAGAUAGCUUCAACUUAGCAAACAAGUGCUUCUAAAAUAGUAGCAAAAUUAAUAGUAAAAUAAGAGUUGUACAAUAUCCGAACAAUAAUAGCAAAAUAGUAGUAAUAUAAUAGUGAAAUAGUAGUAAAACAACAACGAAAUGGCAACAAACAACUGAUUCGGGUUAGGACGGGCUCAAGCAAAAAAAUCCUACUUGAGGCCUAACUUGUUUAGAAAACGAGUAUUAUUUUUUGUCCAAACUCAUUUUUUGAGCUUAUAUUUUUGUCUAAACCCUAUCAUUUUUUGUGCUGGUGGCUUGGCCAUAAUCAAGUCUAUAGUAAACUAGCCUACCUAAUUUAUUUUGUAACCUCAAUUGCUCAAGGUCCUUUUUAACAAGUGGUUGAGUCUCGAUAACUACUUGUUAUGACAAAUGACUUUAUUCAUUGACUAAAAUUAGAUAGGCCAGAACUCCGUGUGUUGGCUUGAUAAUCAGGAUGUUCACCGUUGCAAAUGUGACUUGAGUUCAAGUCACGUUAGUUGCGUUGCUGUUAGGCUUUUACCCUUCUCCUGUAAUUAAAAACAAAAUAGGCAGAUUACUUAAGACUUCAUUGGCUGAAACUUUUCACAAUUUGAUUCUUUUGCUUUUCAAAAAGUAUAUUCGAUUAAUCGUAUAUAUUUUGAUGUUUUUUUAUGGUUAAACAAAUAUUCUACAUUUUUUAGUCUAUUUUAAAUGUGCUUAAUCUUUGUCCAAUAAUAUAAAAAUGUCACAUCAAAUACAUAUUUUAAUUAAAUAAGAUAGUUGGAUUAUUUGAUGAAAUUAAUGAAAAAAAAAAGUUGAUCUAAAGAUUAAAUCAGGGGUGAAAAAAAAGUCGAAAUUAAAUUGUAUAUUUUUACGAUAGUAAAAAUGUAAUUUCACCAUUUUAAUAUCUAUAUCUUUAUAAUUUUUAAAGGAUUAAAUCAAAAUUUUAUCAUUUUUAAGAAAGCCAAAAUAUAAUUUUACUUUUACUAAUUUAAAUUUUUAUAAAUUUUAAAAGGGAUCUAAAUGGAAAAGUUUUUGGAAAAGUAAAAACCUAGAAAUUGUCAAAUGUGAAAUUUAAAUUUCAAUAUUCCUUUUUUUUAAAACUAAAUUUGAUUAUUAUUUUCUUUAAAAGAGUUAAAUUAUUUUAUUUUUUUUAAUAAAAAUACUGAUUAAAUCAUUAAUUUUUUUUAAUGAUUUUGACAUGACAAUUCGCAUAAUAAUUUAUGUAAUUACGUUGACAUGAUAGUAAUUAUUUCAUAUGUUUAUAAAAUUUCAAAAAAACUAAUACAAAAUAUAUGUGAAUUGCUGCUAAUGUGAAAUUUAAUUAAAAAAAGAGAGAGUAGGGAAUGGGCAAUAGCAAGAGGUUGGGUGAGGGAAAAAAGGUUUAAUCAGAAAGCCUCUUUCCCUCUUAAGAUAUGUUAAGUAAUGAUGUAAUCGUAGGCCAUGCAUCGAAAGCUGAACAAUGACUAAGUAUUAGCCAAAUAUUUGGUUGCCUGAAAAUGUAAAAGGAAAAGUAGUGAGAAAGAAAGUGCUAAAAUAUUGUAGUUAAAAACAGUUGGUGAAUGGUGGCUAAUGAAAAAUCGUAAGCAAGCUCCAUUCAUCUCAAAACCUACUCUCCGUAUUCUUCGUAUCUUUUCAUCCACCCUCUUCAAUUCUCCACAUUUCCCUCCUCCAGCAUAAACAAAAAGGUUAAUGUUGAUCAAGGCCAAAAGCCAAAACAAACCAUGGGUGAUUCAUCUCUCAAUGAUUUGAAACCUGAAUACAGGGUCGAUGGAUCAUGUUGGAAAUUUGUUCCAGUUAUUUCAGAAGGAUUUUUUAACCAGAGACCUCGUGACAUUUUCAGACAUCAUCUCAUUCUCUUACAACUUCAAUUAGCUGUCAUUUUCACCCUUACUGCCAUCAUUCAUUUCUUUCUUGGUCGCUUCUAUUUGCCUCGUCUUAUAUCUGAAGUGCUGGUACUCACCUCUGAGCUUAUGUGUCAUUUUCAUUUCUUUUGCAUAUAUAAGAUGUUGUACUUGUUUUGUUUUGUGAAUAUGACAGGCAGGGGUAAUUCUUGGACCGACUGUUCUUGGUCGAUUCUUUCCGGACAUAUCGGCAGUUUUAUUCUCCGAACAAUCGGUGAAAGUCCUGGCUACAUUGACACGGUUCGGGUACUUGUUUUUCAUAUUUUUGAUUGGUGUGAAGAUGGAUGUAAAUCUAAUCAAGAAAUCAGGUAAAAGGGAAUGGACUAUAGGCACCAUGGUGAUGUUAUUCCCCCUUCUGGUCACUGUUAUGGUUGGGAGACACAUAAGCAUAGUGGUGGACAAGGUGGAUGCACAAAGCGCCCAGUACGAGGUUUCGUUCUUCACUGGCGUACUAAUGCUAACCUCAUUCCCUGUGGUAGCCAUACUUUUAAUGCAACUCAAGAUCAUUAACUCAGAGUUGGGACACCUUACAUUGUCAUCAGCAUUGAUUAGUGACAUGGUAAGUUUAGUAAUGGUAAAUAUAGGUAACUACAGGGUAAUAAUGUUAUUGGCAUCGUUACGUGUAGCUCUCAAGUCUCUGUUCCUCGUUGCCGUCCUUAUCGUGUUUAUCCUAAUGGUUUUACAACAAAUGUUAUACUGGAUCAUCAGAAAAACUCCUGAAGGAAAGCCUGUCAAAGAUGCUUACAUUUUCUUUGUUGCUAUAGCAUUACUAGUUGUUGCAAUAGUUGGUGAAAAUGUUGGACUUCAAUACAUGUAUGGUCCUUUUAUACUAGGCUUGACAGUACCAACAGGACAUCCCUUAGCUUCAACUCUGAUAGAAAAACUAGACACUAUUGUAUCAGGUUGGAUGCUGCCACUUAUGUCGACUUAUUGCGGAUACCGAUCAAAUCUAUGGAACCUCAACAGACUACCUCCUUAUUGGAUAAUAUUCGCAGUAACUUUCGGUUUUUUUCUGAAAGUAGCCUGUGGGUUCAUUCCUGCAUUUUGUUUCAAAGUGCCUUGUAAGGAUGCUACAGCAUUGGCAUUGAUGUUGGCUGCCAAAGGCAUUGUUGAAUUAGGUACUUUUGCAACCAAUGCAGACAAGCAGGUACUCCCUUCUAGGAAUUGUUUUAAAGCACUUUUUUUCCUUUUUCUUUUUUUGUAAUUUUCUUUUUGCUGAUAAGCCAAUGCUGUUUUGUUUCAGUCCACCGUUACUCAAGAAUUCACCUGGGCUGUAAUAAUUGUAUUCAUUUUCGCAGCACUUGUGCCGAUACUUACCAGAAAGCUUUAUGAUCCAUCAAAGACAUACGCAGGUUACCAGAAAAGAACCGUGUUGGACUCUUCCAUAAACGAGGGUGUCCGAAUGCUAGCCUGUGCUCAUAGACAAGAUGAUGCAUUGUCUGCGAUCAAGUUACUUCAACUUUCAAAUCCUAGUACCGGAAGUCCCUUGUCGGUUUACGGGCUUUACUUGGAAGAACUAGUGGGUGGAGCGAGUCCUCUCCUUCUUAAUCAUCAAUUAGGCCAAAGGAGUCCUAGCGAUGGCGGUCGUUGGCAACCAAUCAUCGAUGUUUUCAAUUACUUUAAGACCCAAAGUAGUAAACCAACUCAAGUGCACGUCUACACAGCAAUAUCACCUUCCUCAUUGAUGCAUGAAGACGUUUGUUGGGUUGCCUUUGAUAAUUUAGUAGCUUUAAUAAUACUUCCAUUUCAUAGGAAAUGGAACAGGAAAGGGAAACUAAUCUCUGAUUCCAAAGAUUUGAGGGACUUCAAUACUGAUGAAGUUGGUUCAGCAUGCAGCAAACUCGACAGCAUGCAGGCCAUCAAGACCAAGUCAUGCAGGAGCUGCUGGAACGAGCUGAACUAUUCCUAUUUUGUUCAACUUGUAAUCUUAAGUUAAUGUAAUGUACUUUAGUUCAUUUAGAACUAUGUUAGGUUUAUGAUUGAUGUAUUUUGAUGACAAUUAAGCUGUUAAGUCAGCUUUGUUUAAGUGUGCAAGCUUAGUUUUUCAAGUUUUAAUGUAUUAGUGGUAGUAGGUGAUGAUUAGGUAUCAUUAUGCAGAUUUUGACAAGCAAAUUGCUUGGUUUUAUGUAUUGGCAUUAUGCCAUUGUUCAACCAAUGAAUGAAAUCAGUUUUUUGUUCAUCAAUUUUCCUCUCCAUUUUCUUAGCUUUUUCUUUCUUUCUUCUGGCUUGAAUUCUCUUGUUUGCUCAGCAAGUCUCGAGACUUGGUUGACAAGAUAUUGCUGAGUCUGCUUGAUUCUAUUGUUGCACCAACAAUUGGUAUCUAGAGCCUAUUUCUUAAGGGAUCUGUUACUCAAUUCCAUGGCUUCAUCAAGCUUUUCACCAGCUGCACCUCAAGUCUUCAAUGGAGAAGGCUAUCACAUAUGGGUGGUCAAAAUGAAGACCUACCUGCAGGCUUUCGAUCUGUGGGAGGUGGUCAACUUUGAUGUUGAACCAGAGCCACUUAGAGCUAAUCCAACAGUGGCUCAAAUCAGGCAGCAUGCUGAUGAAAGGACCAAGAGGCACAAAGCUAUGUCUUGCAUCCAAAACUCAGUGUCUGAUGUGAUUUUCACAAGGAUUAUGGCCUGUGAAUCACCAAAACAGGCCUGGGAUAAGUUGCAGGAAGAGUUUCAAGGGACAGAGAGGACAAGGCAGCAACAGUUGUUAAACUUGAGGAGAGAUUUCGAGAAUUUGAAGAUGAAGGAAGAAGAAACUGUCAAGCAAUAUUCUGACAGGAUUAUGGCUGUGGUUAACAGCAUCAGGCUCCUUGGAGAGCAGUUCAAUGAAGCUAGAAUAGUGGAGAAGGUUAUAGCAACUCUGCCUGAGAGGUAUGAGGCAAAAAUCUCAUCUCUCGAGGACUCAAGGGAUCUGUCCACCAUCUCCCUGACAGAGUUGAUCAAUGCUCUAUAUGCUCAAGAGCAGAGGAGAGCAAGCAGACUGGAGGAGCACCAAGAAGGUGCCUUUCAGGCAAGAGCAAAUACUGCCUACAAAGGCAAGAAGGCCUGGAGAGACAAGCCAAAGAAUGAUGCUGCAAGGAGAGAAGGUCAGACUUGCAAGCACUGUAGAAAGGCUGGUCAUUCAGAAGAAAAAUGCUGGUUCAAUCCAGAUGCUGUGUGUCAGCAUUGUAAGAAGAAGGGUCAUGUUGAGAGAGUCUGCAAGAGUAAGACCAAAUCGAGGCAGAAUCAGUUUCAACAGAUGAAAGCUGAGGCUCGAGUAGCUAAGGAGGAUAGUGACCAAGAGGAGCAAGUCUUUGCUGUUUCAUGCUCAGCUGCUCAGGAAAGGUCCUCAUCUGGUUGGCUUCUAGACAGUGGAUGCACCAACCACAUGACACCUGAUGCUGCAAUCUUCAAGUCUUUAGACAGAAGCUGCAGAACUAAAGUCAAGAUAGGAAAUGGUCAUUUUAUUCAAGCUGAAGGCAAGGGUGAUGUGCUGAUAUGCACCCUUACAGGUACCAAAGUGAUUUCAAAUGUGCUGUUGGUGCCUGAAAUUGACAGAAACCUGCUCAGCAUAGCUCAGUUGCUGGAAAAAGGUUAUUCAGUUGUGUUUAAAGACCACCAGUGCCAAAUCAGUGAUCCAAGUGGAUCCAAACUGAUGGCAGUCCCUAUGGCUGAUAAGAACUUUGUGGUUGACUGGACAAAAAAGUCAGACAUUGCCUAUACAGCCACUUCAGAUGAAUCCAAGCUGUGGCAUCAAAGAUUGGGACAUGCCAACUUCAGAUCGAUGGCUCGAAUGGUCAGAGAGGACCUGGCUGAAAAUUUCAUCAACUCAGUGGACCAUGAUGAUGUAUGUGAUGUAUGUCAGCUAGGAAAGCAGGCCAGACUCCCAUUUCCCUCGAAUCAAGCCUGGAGAGCCUCUGAAAAACUCCAACUGGUGCAUACUGAUGUGUGUGGCCCUAUGAAGACUGAGUCAUUAAGUGGAAACAGGUAUUUCAUACUGUUCAUUGAUGAUUUCUCGAGAUAUUGCUGGAUUUACUUUUUAAAACAGAAAUCAGAAGUGGCCUCAGUGUUUUGGAAGUUCAAGACUGCUUCUGAGACUGAAACAGGCUGCAAGCUGAAGACCAUAAGGUCUGAUAAUGGGACUGAGUACACCUCAGCUCAGUUCCAAGCCUUCUGUGAUAAGGCAGGCAUCAAACAUCAACUUACCAACACAUAUACACCUCAGCAGAAUGGGGUAAGUGAAAGGAAGAAUAGGAGUUUGAUGGAUAUGGCCAGGUGCUUGAUGAUUCAGAAAAAUCUGCCUAAAGCACUAUGGGCAGAAGCAGUUAACACUGCAACAUACAUUCAAAAUAGACUUCCAACCAAGGCUUUGGAUCAAAAGACCCCAUUCGAGGCCUGGUUUAGCUUCAAGCCAUCAUUGGCUCAUCUGAAGGUCUUUGGAUGCAUCUGUUAUGCACAUGUACCUGCUGUUAAAAGGGACAAAUUGUCUGAAAGGGCUCGACCUGGUGUUUUAGUGGGGUAUAGCACUGUUAAGAAGGGCUAUAGGAUUUUAGAUCCUUCAACAAACAAAGUGUCAAUAAGCAGGGAUGUGGUAUUUGAUGAGAGGUCAUGUUGGAACUGGGAAAGACAUGAACCUGAAGAAGUUUCUGAAGAACUUGCAGUAGACCAAGGUGAGCCAGACCAAAAUGUCCCUGAAAUGGAUAUUGAUGAUGAACCAGUCAGAGGAACAAGGUCAUUGGCUGAGGUUUAUGAAAGGGCUCAUGUAGCCAUAGCUGAACCAAGCAACUUUGAAGAGGCUGAGGCUCAACAAGGGUGGAAGCAGGCAAUGGCUGAGGAGAUCAGCAUGAUUGAGAAGAACCAGACCUGGAAAUUGGUUGAAAGGCCAGUCAAAAGGAAGGUGAUUGGGGUGAAAUGGGUGUACAAAGCCAAGCAGAAUGCUGAUGGUACCUUGAACAAGCUAAAAGCAAGGCUAGUGGUCAAGGGGUUCAGUCAAAGGUAUGGCUUGGACUAUUUGGAGACCUUUGCACCAGUGGCCAGGCUCGACACCAUCAGACUGCUGAUUGCCUUAGCAGCACAGCUCGAAUGGAAGAUUCAUCAACUUGAUGUGAAAUCAGCCUUUCUGAAUGGUUUCUUAGAUGAAGACAUCUAUGUUGAACAACCACAAGGGUUUGAAAUAGCUGGCAGAGAGCAUAUGGUCUACAAAUUGAAGAAGGCCCUAUAUGGCUUAAAACAGGCUCCAAGGGCCUGGUACAGCAGAAUCGAUGGCUACUUGACUGAUCUGGGAUUCAAUCGAAGCAAGAGUGAGCCAACAUUGUAUGUCAAGAAGCAAGGGACACAAACACAACUCAUUGUGUCCCUAUAUGUUGAUGACCUGCUGGUGACAGGAGGAGAUCAAGCAGUGCUGGUUAAUUUCAAGACCAAGAUGCAAGAGGUGUUUGAAAUGUCUGAUCUUGGGGAGAUGUCCUAUUUUCUUGGAAUGGAGGUGACUCAAGCACAGAAUGGGAUAUUUUUAAGUCAGAAGAGCUUUGCCACAAAGAUUCUGACCAAGUUCUCCAUGCAAAACAGCAAACCAACUAAAACACCUGUUGCUGUUGGAGAAAAACUAUCGAGCCAAGGAGAUUUUGAGAAGGUAUGUGAAACUACCUACAGGAGUCUAGUUGGUUGUUUGCUAUACUUGACUGCCACUAGACCAGACAUAAUGUAUGCUGUAGGAUUGCUCUCAAGGUUCUUGCAUUGUUGCAAUGAGAAGCAUUUCCAGGCUGCCAAGAGAGUGCUCAGAUAUGUCAAAGGCACUUUGGACUAUGGCUUAAGGUACAGCAGGAAAGGAAAUCUAAAUUUAGUUGGGUACACUGAUAGUGACUGGGCUGGAUCGAUAGAUGACAUGAAAAGCACCUCAGGGUAUGCUUUUAGACUUGGUUCAGCCAUGUUCUGCUGGAGCUCGAAGAAGCAAAGUCUGGUGGCACAAUCUACUGCUGAAGCAGAAUAUGUGGCAGCAGCAAGUGCUGUCAACCAAGCCAUUUGGCUUAGGAAAAUCCUGACUGAUUUGAAUAUGGAUCAAAUGGAAGCAACAGAGAUCUUCUGUGACAAUCAAUCUGCAGUAGCAAUUGCUAAAAAUCCAGUGUUCCAUGGAAGAACAAAACAUUUCAGCAUCAAGUUGCAUGUUGUUCGAGAAAUGGAGCAAGCUCAGGAAGUAAAGCUGAUCCACUGUAAUUCAGAGGAUCAACUUGCUGACAUUUUAACCAAAGCUCUUAGUGUCACAAGGUUUGAAUAUCUAAGAAAGAUGCUAGGUGUUUGCUCCAUGCAAACCAAGGAGGAGUGAUGAAGUUGGUUCAGCAUGCAGCAAACUCGACAGCAUGCAGGCCAUCAAGACCAAGUCAUGCAGGAGCUGCUGGAACGAGCUGAACUAUUCCUAUUUUGUUCAACUUGUAAUCUUAAGUUAAUGUAAUGUACUUUAGUUCAUUUAGAACUAUGUUAGGUUUAUGAUUGAUGUAUUUUGAUGACAAUUAAGCUGUUAAGUCAGCUUUGUUUAAGUGUGCAAGCUUAGUUUUUCAAGUUUCAAUGUAUUAGUGGUAGUAGGUGAUGAUUAGGUAUCAUUAUGCAGAUUUUGACAAGCAAAUUGCUUGGUUUUAUGUAUUGGCAUUAUGCCAUUGUUCAACCAAUGAAUGAAAUCAGUUUUUUGUUCAUCAAUUUUCCUCUCCAUUUUCUUAGCUUUUUCUUUUUUUCUUCUGGCUUGAAUUCUCUUGUUUGCUCAGCAAGUCUCGAGACUUGGUUGACAAGAUAUUGCUGAGUCUGCUUGAUUCUAUUGUUGCACCAACAAAUACUAAAGUGAUGAACAAGGCUCCUUGUUCAGUAGCCAUUCUAAUCGAUCGUGACCGAGGUCGUAAUUCAUCGAUCAUAGACGAAUCAUCCACAUAUAGUAUAUGUGUGGUUUUCUUGGGCGGGAAGGAUGACAGAGAAGCUCUUUCCAUUGCAAGAAGGAUGAAAGGAUGGCCUUCGGUUUUCCUAACUGUUAUUAGGUUAAAGGAAACUGAGGAUAUGAUCACAGGAUGGGAGGGUAUGAUGGAUGACGAAUGCUUGAGAGACAUUAAACACCCAAGCAAUGAAAAUGGUAAUGUUUUGUACAAGGAAGAGAUAGUAAGACAUGGAGCAGAUACAUCUGCACUCAUUGGGUCCAUAUUGGAUGAAAACUUUGAUCUUAUAUGUGUGGGACGACACGCACAAUGUGACUCACCACUCAUAGAAGGCUUAUCAGCAUGGACUGAUUUACCAGAGCUUGGGACCAUUGGGGACCUGUUAGUUUCUGCAGAGAUCAGUAAACCAAUAUCUAUCCUUGUGGUUCAACAACAGGUUAUUGAAAAAUGAGUGUAACUUUCACUCUUUUUUCUGCCAUACAAUGGAAGUGUUGCAUGCACCCUUUCAGGUCCUAAUGCAAAUAUCAUUGCUAUAAAUGCGCAACUAACCCAAAGUGAAUCCAUGAAAAUGCCAUUGGAUUGGGAUUGUAACAUUUAGCCCCUUGGUUUAUGGGGGGAUUUUUCCAUGUGCUAAUAUGCUCCAUAUACGACUCAAUAAACCCUAACAGAAAACUUGUAAGAAUUGUAGUAAUUUAUAUUAUCAUGGAAUCAGAGUUGCUUCAUUUCUGCCUUGUGGAACACCUGUUUUUAUCUACCAUUUCUUUCAAAUUCGAUAUUUUAUGGUAAUUUUGUUUGGAAAUGGAAAUUUUUUUAAUGUAGAAUUCUGAUUUGAAUUGAGCUCAGGGUAUAAUAUAAAUUUGCCUUAAAUAUGUUUUUGUAUAUAAAAUUUUAUAUUAGAUUAUAUAAAAAGUUUAGAAUUUUAUUUAAUACGCAUAUAAAAAUAUAUAAUAAAAAUUUCCCAUCACAUAGAUUAAAUAAAUUUUAUAAAAUAUUUUACUUGGUAUAUUUUUAUAUAUAAAUUUUAUACGAUUGUAUAAAAAAUUUAAAAUUUAUUCUACAUAGCUAAUAUCUUUAAAAAUCAUAUAUAAUUGUUUAAUAUUACACUACAAAAUAUAUAAUAAAAUUUCUCACACUUAUUUGGAAAAAUAAAUAUUUCAUAUAUAAAUAUUAUACUUAAAAAAUAAUGAUAUUUGAAAUAAUUAUUUUAUUUUAUAAUAUUAUAAUUUAUCAUACAAUGAAGAUGAAAAAAAUAAAUAUUUGACAUAUAAAAAUUAUAUAUAAGAAAACAUAUAUAUAAAAAAUUAGUUGAUGUUUUAAAAAUAAAAUAUAUUUAGCAUAUAUAUAUAGUGAAAAUACAUAUUUUCAUUAUAUAAUUACAUAUUUAUUAUUUUAUCUAUAUAAAUAAAAAAUAUUAAUUAAACACAUUAAUUAAAAAUUUAAAAAAACACUUAAAAACAACAGAAAAUGCUUGAAAGGAGAUUUGAACCCGAGCCACACAAAAAAAAAUGUCGACCAUGCAUUUAAUUAUUUCUCAAUGGCAUAUAAGAACAACACAUUUUGUAAAAAAGUUGUUUUUCAAAAGCAGCAAUCUAAUCAGCAAAAAUGACCUAUUUAUCUAAACAAUACGAAAAAAAGGGUUAAACUUCGAAUUUUUUAGGAGUAUCUAUUCAUAAUUUUGCCUAUUUACGCACACAAAAAAAAAACAUAAACUAUAGCAUAAACACCAUUUUUUUUGACAAAACAUUUUUUUUUAAAUUACAUGAGAUAUAUUGUAAUUGUACUUAUAUAAAAUUAUAACUAAAUUUGUAACAAUAUGCAGUGACAACUGAAUAAAACAAUAAAAAGUAAGAUGCAUUAGAAGAGAUAAAAGAUUGAUUACACAGUUCAGUUUAAUAACCUAUCGCUGUAUAAUCUUGCUGAGAGAAUGAACCCAUUAUACAAACUUUCAUAGUACAAUCUUCGAUAGCAAACUCAAUUAAUAACCUAAGUUUACCAAUGAUAGUUAUAAUAAAAUCGUACAACUUGUAUGCACUCAUCACCCUUAAACUACCAUUUGACAAAAGUAUAAAAAUCACUCUUUAAGAAAGUGAAAAUAUCAAAAUAAAUAACCUCUUAGUAUGUUUGAAAUGAACAAGAUAAUUUCACUAAUUCAGUGCAAUAAAAAAUAAAAGAAGCCAUCUUCCUUUUAAAAGCCAAUCAUAUCUUCAAAAUAAUUAAAUAUUAUCUUCAAUUUAAUUUCUCCACCUCUUAUUACAUUUUCAAUUCAAAUUUAAAGUCUUUCUAUAAUCCAAAAAAUUAUUUAUUAGAUAAAUUUAAUGAGUUAAAAAUUUUCUCAACCUAGGUAGAUGCUUCAAUAAGUCUACAAUCAUCAAAGCAAGCCAAGACAAACCAAGUAACCAAACCAUAACUAAAGUAGGCCAUGACAAGCCAUUUGCUGCAUCUAAAUCUCCCCUUUUGUCAAAAGUGUUCAAUAAUGAAAAACAAUAAUUGAGCUACUCUCCCUCUGUUUAAAAACAACGCAACAACCAAUUUUCGUGCAAGAACUAUCAAAGUUGACGUUGCAACAUCAAAUUCUUCAUCUCAAUUCACAAAUAUAAAGUUUGUCUCUCCUGUUGUAUUACUAAAAAUCAAUACAUGGAAGAAAUCACCGUAGAUACACCAAAAUAUAAGUAGAAAUAAAAAUAAGUUUAAGAAAAGAAAACCAACAAAAACAACCAAAAUUUAGAAACAUUAUAAUAGUAUUAUUACUCUAUUUUUUACUCCAUUGUUAUGCUUCCCCUUACUCUAUUCUUCCUUAUCAGUUUGUAUUUAUUUUGUUCAAUGAGAUGAGACGGAGUGCUGCAUCAUUAAUCUUGCAAACAAAAUUUCUUAACCCGUGGAACAAUAAGAAUCUCUUCCACAAAAAUUUAAUAGAGUUUUCAUGGUGGUCAAAAUAUUUUCAUGGUUAUCAAUAUAGAUAGUAGCUUUAUAUUUAACUGAACAUCAAUUUGUUGUUGAUCUUCAUAAUUGACAUAUGCUUGAACUUAUCUCACCCUUUCUCACCCAUAUCUGUUUAUGUUGACUACCACAUGUUCUACAAGAUAUGUGAUAGCUAUGGAGCCACCUCAUCUUAAAUCAUUCCACAUUUUAUAGCAACAUGGUCUAAUAUGGCCAAUAAUAACAUAAUAAAGACGAAUAAUAUUUGGUACACUGUCAGUGGAGAUUUUAGACUCCACGAGUAGGGUCAAGGGACCAGUAUACCAAAUACUAACCCAAUAAUGAUAUACAUGUUUUUUUUUCUUCUUUUUACUUAAUUUUUAAAGGGAGGAUCAAAAGAUUUGUUAGCCUUAACAAAAGUAGUGGGAGAUAUAGAUUUCUCCCAAUGUCAAUGUAACUCAAUCCCUUCUGACUAGUCUUAGAUCUAUUAGCACUCAAAAUAUAUCAUCAAGCUUCUCACUUUGAGUGCUAAGCUUUUUGAGAAUUUCUUUUGCAACACUCAACCCCUCUUCAACAACAUUUAACUUUGCUUCUUUUUGUGUAAGAAUAUCAUACUUUUUUUAGAUGUAAGAAUAAGCUUUUGGAUUUUCUUAAUACUGCCUAUAUUGUCUUUCAAUGCUUUAAUAAUUCAAUUGAGAUACCAUAUCCCAACUUUUCCUUCACAGCCUUAUUGGAUUCUUUUGUGCUUCCAAAAGGACCAUUAAUGUAAUUUUCAGAUUUUGUUUUGUUGAUGUUACAUAAGCAAGUGCAACAGUGGAUUCGAUAGUGGCUGUAAAAGCCACAUAAUUUAUUUUUAGAUCAUUAUUGACAAUUGCUUCACUCUUUUGAUUCAUCACUCCAAAUCACAACUAAAGAUGUAUGUUUAUUCUUAAGAGUGUUUUCACACUUAAAUUGGAUAUGAUUGAAACCUUUGCACUCACAACAUUGAAUAAUGCCUUUAGGACAAGAUUCUUUGUCUUUAAUGAGAGCUUUCCUUUUUUUACGGCUGACAUUUUUCCUAACUUUUUAAAUAUUUCCUUUCUUGGAGAAUUUUCUCACAAAUCUGUUAAUGUUAUUUGAUGGGAGUGCCAUCUUUUCUUCGAAUCUUUUAUAGAGGUGGUCCUCAAAACAUUGUUGUAACACUUGAGUUGACAUUGAAGGCAAUACUUCUUUCAAGUUUUACCCUUACGUUCAACUAGUUUUAUAGUAGUUAUUUCUUUAGCUUCCUCGAUAGUAGUAACUUUGAUUGCAGACCUUUUUGGCAAUGAUCGAAGCAUCUUUUGCAUCAAUUUUAACCCAGAUAAACGUUUACCAAGACAUAAGGCUUUGUUAGAAAUCUCACAUAAAUGAGAAUAAUAAUUAAAAAUAGUUUCUUCUUCAUUCAUUCCUAAAUUAGAAAUCUUGCACACAAUACUGGCUGUUGAAGCUGAGCUUGGGAAAAUGGAACAUAAACGUGCAAAAUAAUAAGAAACAACAAGAAAUCUCACAUAAACAAACAUGAUAAUUAGAGAAGAUAUUUCUGAUGGAUAUACUAAGGACGAUAAGCCAUCACUAGACGCUGUUGCAAUUGUCUCAACAUUUACCAAGUCAAUUACUACUGCUUAAGCUAGACUCAUGGAACAUUUGAAAGAAGCUGAUCUGUCUUAACAAAAGCACCUAGUAUCAUGAGAAUCAAGUGAAGAUACUUCAACUAUAGAGGAUUAGAGAUCGACAUAAGUUGUACCUUAUUGCUCAACAAUAGUAAAUGCCUUUGGCACUUUGGAAUAAGAAAAAGAGAACGAGCUCAUGGGAGAUUAUUAACUGGGGUUGAUUACUUGUGGUUGCUGAACUUGAAUUGAAGCUGAUUUUAUAACUUUUUUUGGGGGAAUUUUUUGAUGAUGAUAUAGUGAUGAUUUUUGGACUUAUAUGUGAUGGUGCUUAGUUUUUUACUUAAUAUUUCCCCAAUUUUACUAUGAUACUCUUAAUACCUUGUGUUUUAAUUGUUAAAUGCUUUUGAUAUAUUGAAUUAAUAGUUGAUCCAUCUUUUAAAUUCAUAGUUGAGUGUAUGAUAUAAUGAUCCGAAAUUUACGGUUAUCAGAAAUUAUAUUUUUGGGUCUCCGUUUUUGUAAAACGAAUUCGUAAAUAUUUAUUAAAAAUAUUUACGAAGUUAGUUGUGUAGUUAAUUAGGUUUUGGUUAGCUGAGUUUGUCUAAAUUAAGAGUAAUUAGGUAUAAGGACUAAAUUGCAUAUAGAGUAAAGGUUGAAUUAUAGAAUAGAAAAAAGCUAAGGGACUAAAUAAGUAAGUAAACCAAAUUGUGACAAUUGUAUGGUAAUGGUAAUAUACCUGUGUAAUAAAUACAUACAUAUAUUAGUAAUAUACAUAUAUACUUACUUGUUAUUUAAGAAAAUAUUAUUAUAUUAUAUUAUUAUAAUUAAAACAAAUAAAUAAUGAAACAUAAAAGAAAAAGAAAAAGAAAGAACAGAUUUGGGAACGAAACAGGGGAAAGAAAGAAGAAAAAGAAAGAAAGAAAAAUAAAGAGAAAAAUUAGGGUUUCAAGGGUUCAAACUCAAAUUGGUAAGUUAAUUUAGUCCAUUUUCUUAAGAAUUUUAUGUUUUUAGAAUCCUAGAACAAAAUACUACUUGAUUUAUGUCGAAAUUUUAGAAGUUAGUGGAUUUUUAGAAGUUGUUCAUGUUAAAUAAAUUGAAGUUUUAGGGGUUAAAUUGAUAGAAUUUCAAGCUAGAAGUGAAAAAUGAAUUGAAUUGUAAAAUAAAUCAUAAGUUUUGAGUAAUAGGGACUAAAUUGAGAGAAUUUAAAAAUUAGGAUUUAUGGUGAAAUUUAAAAUUUGAAAUUAGUCUAAAGUGAGAUUUGAAUGAAAAUAUGAAAUGAGUUUAAAUAAAAUAAAGUUAGUCUAGAUUAGGGACUAAAUUGAAAAUGUGAGCAAAGGUUGAGUAUAAAUUGAAAUAUUCAAUAUGAAAUUGUAGUGUAUUGAUAAAUUUUAAUUGUUUCUAUUUCCGUAGCUAACGUUGAGCUGGAGACCUCGGCUAGGAAAGGAAAAGACAAGGUUAACGAUGAAUAGCUUGGGAAUUACGGUUUGUAUUUCUAUAAUCCGAAUUUAAUUAUUAAUUGUUAUAUUUUAAAUUUAAAUGUUUAUGGUAAGUAAUUAAGGUGAGUAUUAGUAUUUUGAUAUUGAAUUGAAUUUAUAUGCAUAUGUGAUUUAUGUGGAAAUUGAAUAUUGGAUAUAUGUUGUACUUGAAAAGCGAUGUGAAACCCUAUUAACUUUAUCGGGCUGAGUCAAAUAUAGUUGGCAUGCCGUAGGAUUAGAAGCGUUCAGGGAUUACUUCAACUUCGAGUCAAUGAGACACUGGGUGUCAUACUAUUACUUCGGAUAAAUUCGAUGAGGUACUAGGUACCAACUUACUUCGGCAUGGCCGAUGAGAUAUUGGGUGUCAAUCUAUUACUUCGAAUUAUCCGAUGAGGCACUGGGUGCCAAAUUGGUGUGUUUUUGUUGGAUCCGUAUAUCCGUCCGAGUCCGAGUCGUGUUAAUAGGGGUAAAUAAAUGAAUUAUCAAUAUGAAUGAUAUUGAAUGAUUUUGAAUAUGAAUUGGAAUGGGAUAUUGAAUUGAGAUAUAAAAAUAAAAUGUAUGAACCAUAGGUUAAUGGAAUGGUUAUUGAUAUAGUUCAUGAAAUAGUUAUUGAUAUAAUGAGAUGAUAUGUGUAUUCUAUUAAGAAAAACUAUUUGAAUAGCAAUUAUGAGAUUGAAAUAGUAAAAGAUGAGAAUUGAAAGUAUUAUGAAUGAUGUGUUUAUGAAAUUGAUUAUCUAUUUGAAUGAUUUCUGUUAUGUGUGUUUAGAUAUAUAUAUUAUAAUUUCUUGCUUAAUAAGUAUUCGGAUUAUAAAAAUACCACUGAGUUUAUACCCAGCGCACGUUUUGUUUUAAUGCGCAAGUUAGGUAUAACACCCCAAACCCGGCCAAGACGAUAUGGCCACAUUCGGAAGUGUCACAUUGUAAGGGUUUUGAAAACGGAGUUGUCACGUCAGAAUAUUCAUGUUUUUACUUGAAAACACCAUCUAAUUAAUCCAUUUGCCAAAACUUAUUACAGUGGAAGCCUUAAAAUAGUUGUAUUAUGAAAAUGCAGUCGUGUUUUGGAAAAACCUUUGUUUGCGUAUAGAUUGUCAUUUUUAGAGAAAAACGUUUUGCUUAAGCAUGCAUUAGCAACAUAUAAAUCCAAAACCAACAGUUAUAAAACCAUAAAGUUCAGAGAGUCCUAGAAAUUAUAAACUCUAAAAAAUAAUCCAAAAAUCAUAAACAAACCACAAAUAAUCAAGUUUUAAUAGUUUUACGGAUGAGUGGUCACCACAGAGUCUCUGCCGCACGAUCCGCCUAAGUCUGUGGAUUACCUAACAAAACAGAUAACAGAUGUGAGUUUGUGAAAACUCAGUGUGUAACUCAAUAGAAAUAAGCAUACAAACAUACAAAACUAUAUGCACAGUCAGAUACAAAUACAUAUAUGCAAAAUCCUACCCUCAUCCUCUACACACCAUCUCCGACCAUCCCAUCACACCAUGUGGGUUUAAAACACGCACCCAGCCCUACACACCGCGUUGUGCCUUUAAGACACAUAUUAGAAUAUAUGCAGCCAAACUGCCAGAAAAUAGGCGAUUAAUGCCAAACAGAAUAUUUCCUCCAUACAUAAAAAUCUCACCCCAAUAACAGAUACAGAAAUCAGAUACAGAAUAUCAAAUUAAUAUGCUCAACAUGCUUUUAGACGAAUACCGAGUUAAUCAAACAUGCAUAGUAUUUUCACAUUCAGAGCAGAAUAUCAGACUAUCAGAUUCAUAGUUUUAAGGUUUGGUUAGCCCUUACCGACCCUACAGUAGGCCCACAGUUGAUCAGAGCGACCUGUGUGACCCUAGGAAAAAUUUUAAAAUUAUGGGCCCAUACACCUGUGUGGCCCACACUCCCAGGUCAGCCUUUGCCCGUGUGGCCCACACGGCCUAGCCUAAAAUCCACAUGCCUGUAUGAGCCCACACACCCAUGUGGCCUACACGCCUAACUUGGUCAUGCCGUAUAGCCAACAAGGCCACAUCCGAGCCACCACACGGUCGUGUGCUGCGCACGGCCAUGCCUUCGUCGACCAAACGACAGUAUCUAGCACACGACCAUCCACACGGGUGGCCACACACCUGUGUGGUGUCGACAGUGAAGUUUUUCAGCUUUCGUCGAAACUUGAUUUUUCGCGUUUUGGGAACACACCUAUUACAGUUUUGAUGCAAAACCAGCCUUGGAACCACCAGAACCUAAAAUCAACAAACCAAAACCCUAAACUCAGUCUUAAAACACAAUAAUCCAAAACCACAAUACCAAAAACUCGAUUCAAGCACUCAACACUUACCCCCAAACCUCGAACGCCUUUAACUACAAAUUCGAAAGAGAAGAGUCCCGUUCUUCGAGAAUUGUGCUGCCAAAACAGAAUAAUAAGGCUCCAAUCGGUAAUUUUGAAUACGAAAUACGUAAACACAAAAACCCCACUUACCGAACAAUUGACAGAAAGUAAAACAACGUGAUACAAAGAUUCGUUGACUGGUCAAAAUUAGAUAAAUGAAAGUAUCAGUAGAUGAAGAACAAAAAGGUAGAGCAAAGCAAGAUAAAAAAUGUCAAUUUUUUUCUUCCUGGAAAAAGGGAGGAAUUCCGAAAAACAAGAAAGAAUAAAAAUAAAAAUAAAAUCCAAAUCCCCCAAAUUCCUCCCCACUAUCCCACUAACAACCACUACUUAGAAUCUCAUCUCUACCGAAACUCUCUCCCAAGCAACUGAGUAAAAAUUAAUACCCAUGCUUACGUCAAGAUUUGAAGACAGGACCUCCAACACACUGACCCCCUUACCACUCGAACUAGUAGGCUCAGUUUGAUAUGGAUUUACAAGCAAUUUAAUAUAAGCCCACUGAAUAAAGGUAAGGCUUAAAUCCAAAAAUAACCUAAAUUUGCCAAAGGUAAGACUUGAACCCAAGACCUCACACACACCCAGAACACUUAACCACUGAAGCAGAGACAUAUUUGUGUUAGAUUUUAUAGGAGCAUAAAUAAGUUAUUUGGAGUGUUACAAUUCUAUCCCGUAAAAGAAAUUUUGACCUCGAAAUUUACCUGAUCAGAACAUAUGAGGAUACUGCAGACGCAUUGAGUCCUUAGAUUCCCACGUGCCCUCCUCAGCACUAUGAUUCCGCCACCGAACCUUCACUAAAGGAAUGGACUUUCUUAUCAGAACUUUAACAUCUCGAUCUAGAAUCUGAACCGGCUCCUCCUCAAAAGUCAAGUCUGGUCUAACCUCGAUCUCCUCAACUGAGACAACGUGAGAUGGAUCAGAUUGAUACCACCUCAACAUCGAUACAUGAAAGACAUCAUGAAUAUGAUCCAACUCUGGAGGUAACUCCAACUGAUAAGCAACCGGUCCCACACGUUUCAGAAUCUGGUACGACUCAAUAAACCUAAGGCUCAACUUGCCCGUACGACCGAAUCUCAGAAUUUUCUUCCAUGGAAAAAUCUUAAGAAACACGAAGUCCCCCACAAAAUACUCAACAUCUCUCCUCUUCAGAUCUGCAUAAGACUUCUGCUUAUCAGAAGCCGCCUUUCGACGAUCCCGAAUCAGCCUAACCUUGUCUUCGGUAUCAAAAACCAACUCUGGACCCAAAACCCGAUACUCACCCAACUCAGUCCAACAUAGCGGGGUAUGACACUUACACCAUACAAAGCCUCGUAAGGUGCCAUCUGGAUGCUAGACUGGAAACUGUUAUUAUAGCCGAACUCAGCUAGCGGCAGAUAAUCCUAUCAACUACCUUGGAAAUCUAUCACACAGCUCUAAAGCAUAACAUCCAGUAUCUGAAUCACCCUCUCAGAUUGAUCAUCGGUCUAAGGAUGGAACGUAGUAUUGAAGUCUAAUAUCGAACUUAGGGCCUCAUGCAACUUCUUCUAGAACUGAGACGUGAACUGAUGAUCUCUAUUAGAAAUGAUCGAAAUAGGAACCCCAUGCAGUUUCACAAUCUAAAAAAUGUAGAGCUUUGCUAAGUUCUACAGAGAAUAGCCCAUCCGAACCGGAAUAAAGUGAGCAGACUUGGUCAAUCGAUCCAUGAUGACCCAAACAGAAUCAUUCUUAGUGGGUGUCAAGGACAACCCACUAAUAAAGUCCAUCAUCACUCGUUCCCAUUUCCAUAAGGGAAUAUUAACUGGCCGCAACAAACUCGAAGGCAAUUGGUGCUCAGCCUUAACUUGCUGGCACGUCAGAUAUCGAGCCACAAAAUUUGUAACCUCACGCUUCAAUCUUGGCUACUAGUACAACUCACAGAGAUCGCGGUACAUUUUAUUACCACCGAGAUACAUAGCAUAAGGGCUACUAUGCGCCUCCCUCAGAAUUGACUGCUUCAAAUCAGAAUCAUUCGGUACACAGAUCCAUUCUUGAAAACAUAACACACUCUCAUUGUUCAACCCAAAAUCUGAAGUAUUGCCACUCUCAACCUGAUGAAACUCCAAACCUAGAUACUCAUCCCCCAAUUGCUUAACUCGAAUCUAAUCAUUCCAAGUCAGCUUAACUUGCAACUCAGCUAACAGACUCCCAUCGUCAAACAAGCUAGGGCAAGCGAACAUCGCCCCCAGAUCAGUUAUUGCUUUAUGACUUAGAGCAUUAGCCACUACAUUGGCCUUACCAGGAUGGUACUCAAUCGUGUAGUCGUAAUCCUUGAGCAACUCAACCCAUUGGCGAUGCUUGAGAUUUAACUCCUUCUGAGUAAGAAAGUACUUGAGGCUUUUAUAAUCCGUGUAAAUGAUGUACCUCUCACCAUACAGAUAGUGCCUACAGAUUUUUAACGCAAAGACCACAGUAGCGUAAAGUUAUUUUUUACUUAGAAUAUACAGUACCACUCUAAGAUGCUCAUCCUCGGUCUUAGAGUGUACCAGAAUAUCGUCGAUAAAUACCAUGACAAACUGAUCCAAAUAUGGCUGGAAGACUCAGUUCAUCAAAUUCAUGAAUGUUGCCGGAACAUUCGUCAGACCAAAAAGCAUCACUAGGAGCACGUAAUGUCCACAACGAGUCCUAGAUGCAGCCUUAUGAACAUCCACUUCCUUAACCCUCAACUGGUGGUAGCCAAACGAAGAUACAUUUUAGAGAACACUGAAGCCCCUCAAGUCAUUGAUCCUUGAAAGCGAAUACUUAUUCUUCAUAGUCAACAUGUUCAAUUAUUGAUAAUUGAUGCACAUCGUCAUGGUCCCAUCAUUCUUCUUAACAAACAUAACUGGUACUCCCCAUAGAGGCAUAUUAGGACGAAUGAAACCACGAUCCAGAAGCUCUUGCAGUUGAGCUUUAUGUUCUAUAAGCUCCUUCGGUGCCAUACGAUAUGGGGCGAUAGACAUCGGAGCUGCACCCAGUAGAAGCUUAAUUCUAAACUCGACUUAUCGAUUCGAAGGUAAACUUGGUAACUCCCCAAGAAAGACAUCUGGAAAGUCCCUCACUGUUCUAAUAUCCCCAACAGAAGAAUCCCCAGAAUAAAAAAUACUGAAGUAAGCCAAGUACGCUUCACACCCUUUCUGAACCAGUUUCUCAACCACAAGAGUGGAGAUCACAUUGGACAAAUAAUCUCGAAGCUUACCAAUCACAACCACCUCCAAAUCAUCCUUGGUCUUCAGAAUGACCCUCUUAGUUGUGCAGUCUAAACUGACUCAGUGCUCAACCAACCAGUCCAUCCCCAUAAUUAAAUCUAACUCCCCAAACGAAAGCUCUAUCAGAUUAGCUCGAAAGACAACUCCUUGAACCACUAAAUUGAAAGAAAUUUUAAAUUAAGGUUUUGUUAUGAAUAUUAGAUAAAUAAGUUGAAUAUGGAAGGAAUUUGAAUAGAAACAAAGUAUGAUUUGAGUUAAGAAAAUAAGUAAGUUUAGUUAGAAUUAAAUUGAAAGUGGGAUAUAAAUUGAAUAGAAUUUAAUUAUUUAUUUUAAACUAGUGUUGUAAUUAAUAGUAUAAAUUAUUUUAAUUUUUGGUAGCUAAUAAAGAAUCCAAGACGUCAACAUAAAAGGGGAAGGAAAAGAUAGUCGAGGAGUAGCUCGAGAAAAUUUACAGUUUGUAUUACUAUAACUCAAACUAUUAUUUAUUAAAUGUUAUAUUUAAAUUUAUAUGUAAGGUAAGUACCUUAUAAGGUAAGUAUUAAUAUUUGAAAUGAAGUAUGGAUAAGUAUGAGUAUUGAAUUACAUGUGGAUUGAGAUUAAAAGUAUAUUGAAUUGAUUGUAUAUUGAAAUGGAAUUGAAAUUGAUAUGGAAAUGAAAUUGAAAUAAAAAAAAAGUAAAAGAAUACCCUAUUAACUAGUCGGACUGUGUCAUAUAUAAUUGGCAUGCCAUAAGAUUUUGAGAAGGGAUUUGGAGAUGUGAUUUGGAUAUGCUGAUAUUUAUAUCCUUCGGAUUUAUCUGAAGAGGCACUCUGUGCUAUUCUGGUGUGUUUUAGAUGGAUUAUAUUAUUCUGGUGUGUUUAGGAGGAUUAUAUGAUACUGGUGUAUUUUGGAAGAUUAUACUAGUGUGUUUUGGUUGGACAUUUCUGGUGUGUUUGGAUGGAAUCCGUGUAUCUGUCAAAGUUUGAUUUAUGUUAAUAGGAUGACAAAUGAAAUGAGUAAAUUGAAUGAAUUUGAUUAUUUGAAUGGUUGAAAAUAUGAGAAGGAGGUAUAAGUUGAUUUAUGUGAUAUGAUAAUAUGUAAUUAAAGCUUAUGAAUUGAUGGAAGAACAGAUUGUAAAAAUGUAAUAUUGUUGAUGAAAUGAUAUAAUUGUUAUAUGAUAUUAAAUAGAAAUUAAUCUUUAAGAUUUAUAAUGUUUAUAAUAAAUACAAUUUAAAUUAUUUGAAUUAUAUAGUUUGAGUUAUGGUAAUAGCACUGAGUAUAAAAUACUCAGCGUAUGGUUGUUUUCGUGCGCAGGUCAAUAGAAGUCCAGAGUCUAGGUUCAGCAUCCAAAUGAUCCCGACUUCAACGUAAAAUUUUUGGUGAUGUUUUCUUCCUUAAAUGAAAAUGGCAUGUACAUAGGUAUUAUAAUGGUUAUUUUGGUAUGUUAUAUAAUUAUGUUGUAAAUAGAAGUAUUUGGUGUUUUGAUGUUUUAAACUAGUGAAAUGGUAGAAAAUUGUUUAUGGUAUUAGUUUGAAUUAAACUGGUUUGAAUGAUUUUAUGAAUUAAUUAGAAAUGAUAAUUAAGUUAUCAAGUCAAUAUGUUAAGUAUAAUUUAGGUAUACUUGAGUAUGUAAAUGCAUUGGUUGAAUUACUGAAAUUGGUAUUGGUUGCUGAUUGAAAAUUUACAAGGAAGGUUAGAUAUUUAUAAAGGGGAUAUAUUGAGUUUUUUUUUAAAAAAUUACAAAAAAAUUUCAGAGUACUUGAAAAAGUCCCGUUCCAUUUUUACUAUGCGAUUUGGGCCUCGAGGGUCCAUUAAAGGGACUUUAUGAUUUAAUUUUAAUAUGUUUGUUAUGUAUUUAUGAAUUGUACAUAAAUUGAUCAAUAUGUUCAGAUACAGUACUAGUUACGUAGGAGUGUAUGGAACCUAUGUCCAUUAGAGUUGUAUAAGGUACAUCAAAUAUAAGGAACAUACCAGUGAUAACAUCUGGAGCAUCUCUAUCCUCUCGGCAUCGUGCAACAUAAACCAGUGCAGGCUGACUCGCCUCAGUUUGACCAGCACCUUUGCCCGGUGCUCUCUGCCCACGACCUAUACCAUUACCACCUCUAGCCUACCCAUGACCCCUAGGUGGCUGCUGAACUACCCUCUGAGGUUGCGCAGAACCCGGUCUCGUAGCUUGUAUUUGAUCAGCCCUUUGUGGACACUCUUGAAUACAGUGCUCUAAUAACCCACACCUCAGACAAGCCCUAAUCCUCCUCCAACACUAGCCCAAAUGGCACCUUCCAUAAUCACCGCAUAGGUGCAACCCAAUAGGAGCUACAGAAGCCCCUACUCUAAUAGGCUCAUCCAGUCUAGCCUUUUUCUUAGGCAUCUGAACAGAACUAAAGGGCUCUGCAUCCCUCUUAGUCUUACCCCACUCUCAAUCCCUAUUCUGACGCUCCACGAGCUUAAUAUUCUUGGCGAGCUUCGUCUUCUCAACCAAAAUCGUGAACUUCCGCUCCUUCUGUGGAGCAAUCAGAACUCUCAAGUUGUCCCUCAGACCAUCCUCAAAGCAGAUACACCUCUCAUACUUAGUCACUACCAUGCCACGAGCGUAGCGGCUCAGUCUUAGAAACUUGGCCUUAUACUCGGCCACAGAUUUAUCGCCCUGCGUAAGAUUCAUGAAUUCACGCCUACGAGCAUCCACAUAGCUCGUUGCCACAUACUUGUUCUGGAAGGUAGUCUUAAAGAAAUCCCAACUUAAUCGAUCAGGCUGAGUACCCUUCUCAACUAUAAACCACCACUGGUAAUCCUCAUAGCCCUUUAGUUUCUGCUUAGGAGCAUAAUCAAGAUUAUUCAUGAUCCUCUUAGUGGCCUCCAACCAAUACUCGGCCACAUUAGGGGUGACUCCAGUGACACCCCUAAAUAACUCAGUACCAUUAGACCAGAGUCGUUCAGUUACCGACCCUCGGCCCCUAGCUUAAAAAUGGGGUCCAGUGACCCUCUCCAAGAUCUUUAGCAUGGCUUAGGACGGUGUGUCGUCCCUAGCUGAGCGACUUUGAGACCAGUCUCGGUGGUAAGUGAAACCGAUGUCUCACUAGUAUCUAGAUUUGGCAUACUACCCAGAGAGCAAAACUCAGCUCGAGCCCCCUACGGCCUCUACCACGGCCUCAAAUACCACGUCUACAAGUUUCACGAGCACUCAUCGUAAACUUUCGACUUUUAUAUACAUUAUAAAAUUUUAUGCAUCAGUUCUAAUAGUUAUUAGUAGAUGUUUUAUGCAUAAAUUUUCAAAAGUUCAAAAUUGUUUUCAGAGGUUUCAGUCUCUAGCUAACUUAGUAUAGUUUCGAAAGGUAUUAUCUACAGUGUUUCAGAGCAGUUCUAACUAAGUUUUAGAAAUACUUACAGGAUUGGUGCCGAAGACUUGGUGUACCACAUUCCUUCUCAAUUGUUCAAAUUAUUUAGGAUAUUUGAAAACCAAUUUCUUUUUUAAACAAAAUUUUGGAACCCAAAAUUCUCAGCUGAGUUUUGCAACCUCGCUUUGAUACCACUAAAUGUAACAACCCAAACCUAGCUUAGACGUUAUGCCGCAUCCAGAAGUGUCACAUGGUAGGGGUUUUGAAAACGGAGUUGUCACGUCAGAACACUCAUGUUUUUACUUGAAAACACCAUGUAAUUAAUCCAUUUUCCAAAACUUAAUACAGCAAAAGCCUUAAAACAAUUGUAUUAUGAAAAUGUAGUCGUGUUUUAAAAAAAUCUUUGUUUGCUUAUAAAUUGUCAUUUUUAGAGAAACAUUUUGCUUAAGCAUGCAUUAGCAAUGUAUAAAUCCAAAACCAACAGUUAUAAAAUCAUAAAGUCUGGAAAGUCUCAGAAAUUAAAAACUCUCAAAAAUAAUCCAAAAUCAUAAAUAAACCACAAAUAAUCAAGUUUUAAUAGUUUUACAAAUGAGUGGUCACUGUUGAGUCUCUGCCGCACCGAUCCACCUAAGUCUAUGGAUUAGCUGACAAAACAGACAACAGAUGUGAGUUUGCAAAAACUCAGUGUGUAACCUAACAAAAAUAAGCAUGCAAAGAUACAUAACUAUAUGCACAGUUAGAUACAGAUACAGAUUAAGAUAUGAAAAAUCUUACCGUCAUCCUUUGCGCACCAUCUCCGACCAUCCCUCACACCAUGUGUGGUUUAAAACACUCACCCAGUCCUACACACCACAUUAUGCCCUUAAGACAUAUCAGAAUAUAUACAGCCAAGUUGCCAGAAAAUAGGCGAUUAACACCAAAUAGAAUACUUCCUCCAUACAUAAAAAUCCCACCCCAAUAACAAAUACAGAAAUUAGAUAUAGAAUAUUAGAUUAAUAUCUCAACAUACUUUUAAAUGGAUAUCGAGUUAAUCAGACACACAUAGUAUUUUCACACUCAGAACAGAAUAUCAGACUAUCAGAUUCACAAUUUUAAGGUUUGGUUAGCCCUUACCGAACCUACGAUAGGCCUACAGUCGAUCGGAAUGACCCAUGCGACUCUAGGGAAAAUUUUAGAGGGCAUGUGGGCCCACACGCCUAGAUAGGCCUUUAUUGGUGUGGCUCACACGGCCUAGGCCAAAAUUUACAACCUCGUGUAACAUGCCCGUGUAGCCUACACGCCCAACUUGGUCAUGCCCGUAUAGCUCACACAGCCACACUUGAGCCAUCACACGGCUGUAUGCUGCGCACGGCCAUGCCUUCGUCCACCAUAUGGCCAUGUCUCGCACACGGCCAUCCACACAGGUGGCCACACGCUCGUGUGGAGACGAUAGUGUAGUUUUUCGGCUUACGCUAAAACUCGAUUUUUCGUGUUUUAGGAACACACCUGUUACAAUUUUGAUGCGAAACCAACCCUGAAACCACCAAAACCUAAAAUGGACAAACUGAACCCCCAAACUCAGUCUUAAAACACAAUAAUCCGAAACUAUAGUACCAAAAACUCAAUUCAAGUGCUCAACACUUACUUUCAAACCUCGAACACCAGUAACUGCAAAUUUGAAAUAGAAGAGUCCCGUUCUUCGAGAAUCACCGCUGUUAAAACAGAAUAAUAAGGCUCCAACCGACAAUUUUGAAUACGAACUACGUAAACAAAAAACCCCACUUAUCGAACAAUUGACAGGAAGUAGAACAACGUGAUACAAAGAUUCGUUGAUCGGUCGAAAUAAGAUAAGUGAAAGUAUCAGCAGAUGAAGAACAAAAAAGUAGAGCAAAUCAAGGAAAAAUGACGUCGAUUUUUUUCUUCCUGGAAUAUGGAGGAAUUUUGAAAAAUAAGAAAAAAUAAAAAUAAAUCCAAAUCCCCCCACUAUCGUACUAACAACCACUACUUAGAAUCCCAUCUCUAUCGAAACUCUCUCCCAAGCAACUAAGUAAAAAUUAAUAUCCACGCUCGCACCAAGAUUCAAAGACAGGACCUCCAACACACUAACUCCCUUACCACUCGAACUAGCAGACUCAUUUUGAUAUGGAUUUACAGGCAAUUUAAUAUAAGCUCACUGAUUAAAGGUAAGGCUUAGAUCCAAAAAGAACCUAAAUUUGCCAAAGGUAGGGCUUGAACUCAAGACCUCACAUAUACACCCAGAACACUUAACCACUGAAUCAGAGAUUUAUUUGUGUCAUAUUUUAUUGGAGCAUAAAUAAAUUAUUUGGGGUGUUACAUUAAGUUAAAGUCAGAACAUUGAAUCAACAUCCAAAGUCAAUCCUAAACUCAAAGUGGUGAAAUAUGUUUCUUUUUGGUAAUGGCAUGUACCUAGGAUGUUGUGUUUGUCAUUUUGGGAAAUGAUUGUAAUGAUGCUAUAAUUUGAAAUGGGUUGAAUAUAUAUAUGAACAUAUGUAUCAUGUUUAAAACUAUUAAAUGAUGUGCUUUAGUUGAAAUUGGUAUAAAUUUAGAAAUGACUUAAAUGAUGUUAAUUUAAAUUGUUUUAGAUAUUAUAUGUGAAAUACCUAUAGGAGAAUAUUGAUUGGGCACUAAGGAUGAUUAAUUUGACAUGUUUUAAAUGUAUUUGAAUGUGUUUUGGAUUGGUUGAAUGAUUGGUUUUUUAGUAACUUGUUAUUUAAGUUUGCAAGGUUGGUAAACUUGAUGUAUAAUGCUCAUUUUGAGUCCACACGGCCUGGCACGCGGACGUGUGACCAAACCGUAUGAGACACACGGCUUACAUAUGGGAGUGUAGAUAGGUCGUGUGUCUCCUGCAUCUUAAAAAUUUAAAACAGAAUGCCCAGAAAAUUGCACACGGGCAUGUGUCUCAACCGUAUGAGGCACACAGCAUAGCACACGGGCAUGUGGCUGACCGUGUGGCCUAAGUCAGAGAGUUACACAGGGUCAGACAUAGCUUUAAGCACGGGCAUGUUUCAGGUCACACGGGUAUUUCCUUGGGCCACAUGGGCUUGUGAGCCCUGUACUUAGAAUUUUUUUUGAAAUUUCAUAAAAAAUUUUCUGAACUUCUGAUUAAGUCCCGAUUUGUUUCUAACACGUGAUUUGGGCUUCGAGGGCUCAAUAAAGGGAUGAUAUGGUUAAAUUAUGAUAUUUAAUAUUAUUAUAUGAUUGUUCGUAUUUGUUCUGAAAUGUUCGAUAAUACUCCGUAAGCCUAUUCUGGCGACGGAUAAGGGUUAAAGGGUGUUACAUGUGGAUUAAAGGGGAGUGUUGAGUUGAUUAUCCAUACUUGAUAUCUUUCUAAGUUUUUUUGUUUAAUAAAUGCCAAAAAGGAAAAAUUGUUAAUACUAGUUAUAAUUGCUAAUCACAAUGCCAGUUGUAACUUGAGAAAAGGUUUCCAGAACAUUAAAACUUGCCUUAUUUGAUUAAUGUAUUUUGGCAAAAUCUGCUUGAACCAUUAAUUGUUUUUUUUUUCAAGGAUUACUACCAACAUAUUAUAAAGGCUUUAUAUGGAAGAAUUAAGACAAGCAAGGAUCAAAUUCAAACUUUUAAAGUAAUUGAAGUUCACUUAGUUAAAAGAUUUGAUAUUUAAAGGAGAUUGAUUUUGAAAUGAUCUCUGCUUGUGUGGUGAUUACUUAAAGACCUUUUAAGUGGCUAUUUUAGUGGAACUAGUGAUUGUAAUUGAUUGAAUAACAACAAGCCUUUUAUUACCUAUAUAUUGUACAACUCAUUUACGUUAGAAAGUAUAAGAUAGAAAGCACAUUACUUGUUUGAUUAGGAACUAUUUUGAGUGCAAAAUUUGUAAGUAAAUAGAGUUGUGUUCAUCAGUUUACACUUAAAAUUUCAAAGGGAAAAGGUUACAUGUAUGAGUAGUAUCCUAAGUGGAAUACAAGUCAACUUCCUAAUUCAAGUAUGACUUAUACUGGUGAACCCCGUUCGUCAAAUUUGUUGGCGAACUCCAACUCGCCAAACUUACUAGCAAACACCGGCUUUGCCAAACCCCUUGGCGUGCUCAACUCACUCAAAACUGGUGAACCCUCCUUACCAUGUCUUCUGGCAUACUCUGAUUGCCGAAUCAAUGACGAACUUUGUUGAAAGUAUUUUAGCGGACACCUGUUCACCAAACCACAAGUGAACUUUUGCUUGCGAGGCCCAAACUCUUAGGCCCUAUCUCGAGAUGUUGCAUUACUAUCCAUUUGGACAGUAGUGUUUUUAUAAAGAGACAUGAAAACUUUUAUAAAUAGGAAUGGAUUUUUAUUUGGAUAUGUCACAUCCCAAAAUCCGAGUUAGUAGAAAUCAGGUUAAUGAACUGAGAAUGGUCACAUCUGAAUUUUUUUAGAUGAUCUUUUACUCAUUUGAUAAUAGAUAAGUAUCAAGUAUAGUGGUUGAGUAAUGAUGGAGCUAUCAUUGAUGACUUAUGUUCGAAUCCCUUCCCUUACAUUAUUUUCUAUGUGGUGUAAUUUUACCUCAAACCUUAACAAAUGUUACACCAUGUUGUUAAAAUAAAUGUUGUAAGAAUUAUAAUAAGCUAGGGAAUAGUUAAAUGGUUAAGUGUUUAGUUAAUUUCCUAAAGGUCCUAUGUUUAAUUCCCUAAACUCUUUUAGCUAGCCAACUUUCCCCCACAAACCACCUUUUCACUCCAGAUGUUCCCCCUUAAUCCACUUUUCAUGCCACUGUCUCCCAAAGCUUCCAUUUUCUCCUAUUUACCAAGCUUGAACCAUCCAUCCCACCUAAGUUAGCCACCAUUCACUUUCUUCUCUCAUUUUGUGUCUCAUCAUCCUCUCUUAACCAAUUCCUCCAUUGCUCAUCCUUUCUUUUCCAUUUCCUUCUUCUUUGAGCCACCAUUGCACCUCUUUUUCUCCACUUUUAUUCUAUCUUCCACCACCAUUAGUUAACCACACCACCUCCGCACCACCACCUUACUACUGCUGGACCACCACAGGACCACUGCCGCGACACCAUUUUUCCUAUUUUUUUGUUUUCUAUUCUCAAAAAUUCACCAAUUCCACCUUAAUUUCUGUCUUUUUAGUUUUGAUAAAUCCUUGCUAGAAUUUUAUUGCUUUUAUCUUAAAAAUAUCAUUUGCUAUAAAUUAAUUCUUUGAUUUAUCCUUUCUCUCCUUUUAAUCGGUUGAUUCAACAAAUAUUCAGUUAAAGAAUAACGUAAGUAUGAAAUGAUAUUGGGUACUAAAUCAUCACUUCUGCAUCAUCUUUUUAUUAAUAUGCGAAUUUACUAUUAGUGUUAGACAUCGUUUUUCUUCGAUAUUAACAUCUCGUACAUUGAUCUUGUGUGAAAGCUCAAUUGCUAACAACUUGGAACACUUUUGACUUUUGGGAAGUGAAUCAUAUCUCUGAUUUUAGUUAUAUUAGCGUAAGUGUGGUAUUGGAAAUCAUGAUUAAUCUGUUUUUAUUUAAAAGCAUAACUUGAGUGACGAUUUAAUGAUGGAUUAUCUGUUUUGUGUUUAGAUCCGAGAUGGCUCUAAUUAAAUCUGGAAGUGGGCGUUAGAAGGAAUUUUUCGCAUUAGAGUUGCUUAGAUUAGGUGUGUGUUUUAACAUUAAACGAAACUAAACCUAUGUUUUAUAUUGUUAAAAUUAUUAUUAUUUAAAUUAUGUUUGAUGAGGAUACUUUAUGUAUCCAUUAAGAGAGAUAAAACUCAUCGUUAUGGACUAUGUCAAGUAAGUGAUUCGAAACCAUUGAUUUUGGUGAUAUGUAUGAUGUGUGAUUUGUUGAUUAUUAAUUAUAUGAAAAUUAUAAAAAUCUCAUUCUCAUGUUAUGAGAUCUUAUGGCAUAUUUGAUUUUCGCGUUGUCGAAACCAUUUUUAAUUUGAAAAAUAGGAGUCGACUUAAAAACAAAAAUAGAGUCGCCACUGAUCUUUUUUCGAGGUGUGAUCAGAUCACCUUGAGAUUGAUCAUUUUAACAAAACAUUUUGAUUUAUUAAAACAAUGAUUUUGGGUCUAUGAAAUUCGAGAAAAAGGGUUCAGGAGUCGAUUAUGCACGAGGAAGGGUUAGCACUCUCGUAACGCCCAAAAUUGGUACCUAAUUGAUUAAUUAAUGUCUUAAUGUCAAAAAUUUGAAAAGAUUUUAGAAUACGAUCCUUUUAUUUAAAAAGAACACUUGAAUAAAUUAAAUUGGAUGCUAAGACCUUCUUAUUUCGAAGAAAUAAAAUGUCACACCCAAUGAGUUAGGACACGACAUUUGAAACCUUUGAGAAUAAGAUUGUCUUUUAUUUCUUAGAAAUUCUUACCUCAAGACAACAAAAUGUCACAUCCAGUAAGUUAGGACACAACAUUUCAAAUUCUCGAGAAUAAGCUUCUUAUUUGAAAUUCGUGUGUUUCAAUUUCAAAAGGGUAUUCGGUUAUUUAGAUCAAACGAAGAAACCGAAACCCAGCACGUUAGGACACAAUUUCUCGAAUUUACAAAUAUGGAAUAUUGCUUUUAUUUUAAAACAAAAUUUCAUGAAUCGGGUCAAGGUUAAUGUAAUGCAAUUUGAUGAAAAAAAUUACAGUACUAAGAUGCAUACCAGAAUAACAAAUGCGUAAUGCAAAUGGUAAUAACAAUGACGAAAAUAAAAUGGAAUAAAUAAAUACAACAAAGAAACUAUAAAAGGGAAAAAAUAAUAGGUAAAAACUAAAGAAAAUAAAACCUAGAAAUAAACCAAUAAAUAGAUGCUAUGUAAAAUAGUCUAAAUAAUAAUAAUAAUAAUGAUAAUAUUAAUAUAAAUAAUAAGUAAUCUAAAGCUUAAAAAGAUUAGGUAAAUGAAUAAUAAAAUGAUCAUAAAAAUGUCUAAAAGUAAGGAUAAUUAUAAUAAGUAAGUAAGUAAACACCAAAAAAAAAAAGAUGUAAUACAUAACAUGCAAAAGUAUUAAAAAUAUAUAAAUAAAUAAAUAUAUAACUGAAUUAUAAUAAUGAGGGCAAAAAAAAAUGAACAAAGGGGAUAGUAAAUGAAAUAACAAAAAAUACUAAUAAAAAUUUAAUUAAAAAUUUAAAGUAGGUUGAAUAACAUAUAAAUAAAAAAUAUUAAGUAAAAUGCUUUUAAAAAUAAUAAUAAUUAUAAAUAAUAAUAAUAGUAAUAAUAAUAGUAAUAAUAAUAAUAAAUAAUAGUACUAAUAGUAAUAAUAAUGAUAAUAAUAAUAUUAUAAAAGAAUAAAAAAAUAAUGAUAUUAAUACAUAAAUAGAAAUAGAAAUAUAAUAAUAAUAAUAAUAAAAGUUUUAAAAUCAUAUAAGAGGACAUAAAUAAAUGAAUAACAACACGAUAUAAAUAAAUAAAAUGUUAAUAACAAGAGUAAAAAAACAUAUAUAAGAAAAAUAAUAAUGAAAAUAAUAUUAGUAUAUAAAUAGAAAUAGAAAUAUAAUAAAUAGAAAUAUAGUAAUAGUAUAAAUAUAAAUAAAAAAUAAAUAAUAGAUAAAUAAUAAUAGUUUUAGAAUAACAAAAUAAAUAUAAAUGGAAACAUAAUAAUAAUAGCAAUAAUAUAUUAAAUUAGUUAAUUUGAUAAUAAAAUAGCGAAAAUAAAAAAAAAGAUUAAAUAGAACCUUAAAGCAAAAUUUUGGGGCAAAUCAAAAAUAAAUAAAAGGAAAUGGACCAAUUUGAACGUGCGAAUAACAAGGAGAGACCAAAAGGGAAAUAAUUCUCACCCUCUAAAACGCACAGCUUCAAGGAAGACCAAAAUGCAGUCAAAAUAAAUUUUAGGGCAAAAAUUAAGAAUAAUGAAAACUUAAUUGCAAAACAAUAAAAAAAAAGGAAUGGCUAAAAGCAAUUGGACGAAUUUAGAAAAAAACAAAGAAAUUGAAAUGAAAUGGACAAAAUUCCCACGUAAUUGAAAGAGAAAAGAAAAUAAUUCCAUUCCAAUGGAGAUAGGAAAAGAGAGAAUAAUCCAAUUCCAAAUUGAAGUAGGAAUACCAAAAGUCCUCCCUUUCAAAGAACAAAAUAUCCCUAUUUAUAUACAUGGAGUUUACUAAAAAUAGUCUAACUAAUUUAAUAAAUUAAAAUAAAAUAAAAAUAAAAUAAUAUCUUUCUAUUUUUGGCCUUUUACCAAGUCAACAGAAUUUGAUAACUCCUUGGCUUUCUCAAUCUUUUUGAUUUGGCCCCAAUUUAAUGAUUCUUUCAAUUUGACCAUUUUUGGCUUUAUUUAUUCGGUUAUUAUUUUUUUCGGGCCCAGGCCAAAAUUGGCCUAUUACAGCUGCCCCUCUUUGCUUAUUGUCGUGUAACGAGAAUGGAGCAAAGACUAUAAAAGGGCCAAUUUUGUCUGGAUCGGCGCUUCUUUUCUUCCCCUUUAAGUAACCUCGUUCCAAUUCACUGUAUCUUCAGAGGUAUAAGAAUUGGUGCUUCGAUCCGCUCCAAUGUAAUUUCAGGGAAAAGAGAUUUAUAGCUUCAAUCUACUCCGCUGCAACUUCAGGGAGAUAAGAUCUGCUAUCUUCAGUCUGCUCCACUGCAACUUUAGGGAGAUAAGACUUGUAUCUUGAACCUGCUCUACUGCAACCUCAAAGAGAUAAGGCUGGUGAUUUAAAUCUGCUCCAUUGCCGCUACAUGGAGAUAAGAUUCAUCGUUUUCGAUCUGCUCCACUACUGUUUAGGGAGAUAAUAUCUACAAUUUUCGGUCCGCUUCACUGCAAUUUCAGGGAGAUAAGACUUGUAUCUUGAACCUGCUCCACUGCAACUUCAAGGAGAUAAGGCUGGUGGCUUAAAUCUGCUCCAUUGCCGCUACAUGGAGAUAAGAUUCGCCGUCUUUGAUCUGCUCCACUACUACUUAGGGAGAUAAGAUCUGUAAUUUUUAGCCCGUUCCACUACUGCUUACGGAGAUAAGGCUAAUGGCUUAAAUCUGCUCCAUUGUCGGUACAUGGAGAUAAGAUUCUUCGUCUUUAAUCUACUCCACUGCUGCUUAGGAAGAUAAGAUCUGUAAUUUUCAGCCCGUUCCACUACUGCUUAGGGAGAUAAGGCUAGCGGCUUAAAUCUGCUCUAUUGCUGCUACAUGGAGAUAAGAUUCACCGUCUUCGAUCUACUCCACUACUGCUUAGGGAGAUAAGAUCUGCAAUUUUCAGCCCGUUCCACUACUGCUUAGGGAGAUAAAACUAGUGGCUUAAAUUUGCUCCAUUGUCGUUACAUGGAGAUAAGAUUCGCCGUCUUCGAUCUGCUCCACUACUGUUUAGGGAGAUAAGAUCUGCAAUCUUCAGCCUAUUUCACUACUGCUUAGGGAGAUAAGGCUAGUGGCUUAAAUCUACUCCAUUGCUGCUACAUGGAGAUAAGAUUCGCGGUCUUCGAUCUGCUCCACUACUGCUUAGGGAGAUAAGGCUAGUCGAAAUACUUGUAGAAUCAAUUUCAUAGGCCUAUGCUUAUGCCUAAUGAUUAGGAUGCCAUGAUCAGAAUGAGUCGAAUGCUCCUAACUAGAUGUGUUAUGAAUGACAUUUGUAUGAAUGUAGAAUGUCAGGAGAAUGCCUUUUUUUAACAUUUGAGCUAUUAUUACUUGCUGUUUGACUAGAUUAUAUCAUUGACGUAUGUCCUCUUGUUCAACUGAUAUCGUUAACAGAAAAUCUGAAGAAAUAGUCAUAAUUUGGACUUUACUUCAAGUAUUUUCAACCCUUAGGCUUGGUGAGUUCUAAAUAAUUGUCCUGUUUUAGGUUCCUGCACAAUUUAGAAACUUCUAGAGUAAUGUGCAGAACUCCUUUUGUGAAAGUGUUAUUAGUCCAUUAAUCAUUAUUUCAAUACAAAAUGCUUGAAAAAGAUUAUAAAAAUGGAUAAAACUGAAAUUUAUUAAGAACAAAAUCUGAAAAGAACGAAUUAAUCAAAGACAGCAAAAAUUGUCUGGAUACAAAAAUAGGUAAGGAAAAAAAAUAAGUGCCCCAAAUAUCGCAGCCUGAGUUUCUCCGUACGAACUCUUCGAGGACCAUUUUGAGCUUAACAUGUGCCUAGGGGAUCUAGAGUACUUUGUUGAUGCCCCAAGGCGUAGCAUACUUCCUUUUUGUUAAUUUAAGCAUAGCAGACUAUCACAUGUCUCAUCUUCAAUCAAAAUUUGAAUUGCCCUUUCCAGGUUUUCAAUUCAAAACCCCUUUGGCCUCGAGGCGCCAUUUGCAGGUUUUCACCUGGUCCUCUCCUUUUUCUUUUUUCUUUUUUUUUUCAAAGCGCCCUUUGCCGGUUUUUGCCUUGGCUUCUCCCCUUUUAGGUGAAGUACUUCUUUAUUGAAUCCGAAUUUACUGGGUUGGGCAGGCUAUUACCAUCCAUCUCAGUUAAUAUCAGCGCUCCCCCAAAAAAAUCCUUCUUUACCACAUAAGGUCCUUCCCAAUUUGGCAUCCACUUUCCUCUAAAGUCCUUUUGUAUAAAAAAAAGGAUCUUCAACGCUAGGUCCCCCUCGUGGAAUUCUCUAGGAUGAACCCCUUUGUCAUAAGCCCGUAUCAUCUGACCGUGACGGAUAUCCUUCAAAUUUGACUGAUCAUAUCGGGAUUGGAUCCAUUUUGCCUCAUCCAAGUUUAGUUCUGACAAGACUCGGAGAAAAGGAAUAAUUGACAAAAGGCUUCCAUUCCAUAAACUAAUGAGAAAGGUAUUAUCCCGAUGAAGGUCUUAGCCGACGUUUGAUAAGUAUAGAGGGUAAAUGGUAACUUCUUUAUGCCAAUCUUUACAAGUCUCGGUCACCUUCCAUAAUUUUUUUAUUUUUGUUUUUGUUUUUUUCUUUCUCUUUUUUCGUUUCUUUCUUUUUGGCUGCCUUUGCUGUACUAGGAUAUGGCGUCUGAUCUUUAAACAAACUAAAAGAUUUUGACAUUGUGCUGUUGUAUAAUCCUUUCUAACAUUCCUUGUCGGCACCUGAUCUUUUUUCUCUUUUUUUAUUUUUUUUAAAAUUUGAUGACUAUCGACUUUGUAACAUUGGCAUAUGAAGUGACUUUCACCCUCUUCGUGAAGUAAUCGAUGACCCUAAAGAUGAAUUGGUAUCGUGUAGAAGCUUUUGAAGAGAUUGACCUCGUAAUAUCCAUGCCCUACAUAUAGAAAAUCUGUGAAGAAAUGGAUGUGGGACAUAAGUCUUGUUUACCUCCAUUUGGCAUUUACGGCAUAAUUGAUACAAUCUCCUUCCAUGGUGGAUCAACAGUACCCGAACCUCAUGAUUAGCCUGGCUAACAUAAAACCAUUAGCAUGUGUCCUCUUAACAACCAUAUGGACCUUUUUUAGCAUCCACUGGUCUUAGCAACCCAGGCAUAUCUUGAUACGAUCAUGCAAAAACAUCUUUGAAUUUUUGAAAUAACUUAAUGACGUCUCAUUUUGUCUUUGUGGUGAUGCUGGCUCUGAUCUUUUCCUCUUUCUCUUUUCAUAGGCUCACUGUCCAUUGACUUUUUGUAGAAUAGGGUUUGUUUUUCAUCUUGCUCUACCAUUCUUAACAAAUCAAGAGAUAAGGUACAAUCUCUAUCAUCUUCAAAGUCCUGAGAUCCCUCUAAACACAUAUCUCACCCAAAAGGAGACUCUGAGUCAGGGUCAGUGUCAGUGUCACUCACGUCAUUGAUAUCUGGGGAUCUGUUGUAGGUAUAAAGGCAAAUUCCAAAGAAUAAAUGAUUCUAAGGAUGAUUAUUUGUAUGGUAUGAUCAUAAAUUCAGAAUAAAAGCAUAUUUAAAGGAGAGUCCAAAGAAUAAAAGAAUCUAUAAAUAGGAAGAAUAAAAGAAUAUUUGCUCAAAAAGAUACAUUUCAUUGAAAUAAAGAUUUUGGACACAAGCCUAUUUCACAAAAGGAUUUUUAUUGCAUCUAGGCUUAAAGCAACAAGCGUGUUUUGAAUAUUACUCUAAAUUAGUUCUAAAAAUACAGGGUUCUCUUCCACAGACUCAUUGCUUAACACUCUCCCAAGUAUACAAGGGUUUGGAAACUUUUAUUCCUCGAUUCUCUCUUUGGAUAUGUCAUUCAGAUUCCCUGAUAUUCCUUCCAGGAUUUUGACUUGUUCAAGUCAUAAAUACCGCAUUUAUUUCAUUGUCAGAGUGAUUAGGUUCUGGGGAAUCAUCGAAUUUCAUAAUUCUCAUUUCAAUGAACCUUUCGACCAACUUUUUAAAUGUAGUGCAGUUUUCGAUUGAGUGUCCCAUUAUUCCCGCGUGGUACUUGCAUUGAGCAUUCUCAUUAUACCAUUUUGGGAACGGAGGUCUCACGGGUUCUGAGUAGAACGGAGACACCACAUGCACAUCAAAAAGAUUUGAUACAACUUCUUAUAUGACAUCGGGAUGGGUGUAAACCUGAACCUUUCUGUGUUUGGCCUCGAGUUGGAUUCCUACCUUGAAGAAUCUUGAUAGCUAGUGGUUACAGCCCUCGGCUGGCCUAAGUUGACCAAUUUGGAAGGCAUGCUCACUAUGUUCACUUUAUUUUCCUUGUUUAUCAGGGUUGGCCUUUUGGCGCUCUCUCCCGCAUCUAUCUUUCCACUCCUUACCGCAUUUUCAAUUAUCUCACCGGAUAUUACUAUAUCUGAAAAGCUCAGAGUAGUGCUUCCCAACAUUUAGUUAAUAAACGAGGCUUUCAGAGUAUUGAUGAAAAGCAUGGUAGUCUCUUUUUCUAGGAGAGGUGGCUGAACUUGUAUGGCAACUUCCCUCCACCUUUGGGCGUAUUGCCGGAAACUCUCAUUUGAUUUCUUUUUCAUGCUCUGUAAAGUGAUCCUAUCAGGAGUCAUAUCCGUCACAUGACUAUACUGUUUCAUGAAAGCUUGUGCUAGAUCUUUCCAUGAAUUGAUCUUGGUACGACUCAAUUGUUUGUACCAUUUGGAUGCUGCCCCAACUAGACUUUCUUGGAAACAGUGAAUCAAUAAUUGGUCAUUAUUGACAUAGCCUGCCAUUUGUCUGCAGAACAUGGUGAUGUGAGCUUCGGGAUAGCUAGUCCCGUUGUAAUUCUCAAACUCUGGAGUUUUGAAUUUGUGGGGAAGCACUAAGUCCGGAACUAAGCUCAAAUCCUUAGCAUCGAUUCCACAGUGAUAGUCAACAUUCUCUAUUGCUUUGAACUUUUCCUCCAACCACCUAUACCGAUCUUUGAGUUGUCUUGGCAAUUCCAUCUUUACUUUUUUCCAUUUUGUCCAGAUCAAGAACUAUAGAAGUGGUUGGAUUGCCCCCCGGAUUUGAGCCUGAGCCUAUCGGGUAAUCCACUGGUGCCGAGGUACCGGCCUGAUAUUGCUAGGAUCUGAUAGCAAUAGGUACACCUUGCGGACAUGUCUGAGCAUUUGUCAGGGUGAAACCCGGAGGGUAGAGAGGCUCCUCAUUGUCCUCCCCCGUAUUUAUCAUAGAGCUUUUUCCUUUUUCUAGCCCCUCAAUCAGCAAUUGGGACAAUUGAUUCAUCAUAUUCCUUUGGGACUCUAGCACUUGGUCUCUCAUAUCUUGUUGGAUCUUCACUAGUUGCUCUUUCAUUUACAUCUGUAACUGGUCUUGCAUCUCACUUUGAAGUUGUUCAAGUCAUUCCAAUCUUUGGUCCAUAUCUUUUGUCUUAGCACUGGUACCGUAACGAUGCUUGGUUGGUAAGUUUUUAUCGAUUUCCAAAUUAACUGAAAUGAUUUCAAUUAAUUAGGGUCCUUUUGUGAAAAUCUAAUGCAAAUGAUGCAAUGCAAUUCAAAUGCAUGGAAUGAAUGCAAAAGAAAAAGAGGCGUUGAUUCUGAAUUCGAUUUUAUUAUAACAACUUUUCUGGAAAACAAAUUCCUUUAUAAAAAAUGGAUUACAUAUGCGGCCUCACCCUUAUAUUCUAGGCGAAGACACCGAUCCAUUUUCUUCGUAAAAGUCAAAUCUCUCAAACUUCCAAUAGAUGCCUUUACUAGCUUCUUUUUGCUUGAUCCGGGCCGUGACUUAUUACUCACUUAUCCUUGCUAUACUUGUUAGAUCCUUUAAGGAAGUCGGGACGUGACGGCUCUCGAAUAAUCUUUAUCGACUUGAAUCCUCGGGUAAUAAAACAGUCUUGUUUUCCUCUGCGAACUAUCAGCCUUCUUUCAUUAUGUUUACUUGGACCCUAUUCAGACGACCGUAUUAUAAUCCACUCUAUCAAGAAAUCUGUUUUCCCAUGACAAGUUGUUCUAUUUAGCAAUCAAAUAUGAAUCAACACCUCCUUUCUAUGAUGAUUUAAUGCAAUACAGUCAUAAACAAAACAAAACACGUUAGCUCAAGACGAAAAAAACAAUAUAGGACACUUAUCUGGGUGACCGCCAGGAUUUGGCAUGGCUUUACCUAGCGUAGGCUCCUAAAUCUCUCUAUAUGUGGUUCGAUUCUAAAGAAAGGGUACCUGAACCAGCAGAUUCCUCAAUCCUCACCCAUUAUAGGCUCAUAUAGAUUGAGUUCAGUUUAGGGGAACACAUUUCCCAAUGGCUGCACGGAGGUGAAAACCUCACGAAGAUAUAGGUACGGAUGUAUCCCGAAAGCGAUCCACUAUCCUACACGGAGGUGAAACCCUCACGAAGGAAAUAGUUUCACACACCCACUUAAAAGGGUGACUAUGGUGGUAAUGCAAUAUGAUGCAGGAAUAUCCUACGAGACUCAAAUCACAACAAACAUAUGACAUGACACAAAACGAAUACGACAAAAGAACCAUGAUUUUUCAAAUCAAAUUUUUUAUUUUUGACAAAAGGACAAAAAACAAUCAAUUUUACGGCUUGACUCUCUUAUUGUCCUCAGUGGAGUCGCCAAGCAGUCGAAACCAUUUUUAAUUUGAAAAACGAGAGUCGACUUAAAAACAAAAAAUAGAGUCGCCACCGAUCUUUUUUCGAAGUGUGAUCGGAUCACCUUGAGAUUGAUCAUUUUAAUAAAACAUUUUGAUUUAUUAAAGCAAUGAUUUUGGGUCUACGAAAUUCGAGAAAAAGGGUUUGGGAGUCGAUUACACAAAAGGAAGGGUUAGCACCAUCGUAACGCCCAAAAUUAGCACCUAAUUGAUUAAUUAAUGUCUUAAUGUCGAAAAUUUGAAAAGAUUUUAGAAUACGAUCCUUUUAUUUAAAAAGAACACUUGAAUAAAUUAAAUUGGAUGCUAAGACCUUCUUAUUUCGAAGAAAUAAAAUGUCACACCAAGUGAGUUAGGACACGACAUUUGAAACCUUUGAGAAUAAGAUUGUCUUUUAUUUCUUAGAAAUUCUUACCUCAAGACAACAAAAUGUCACAUCCAGUAAGUUAGGACACAACAAAAAAAUUUUGAGCAAAGGAGAUAGUAAAUGAAAUAACAAAAGGAGAUAGUAAAUGAAAUAACAAAAAAUACUAUUAAAAAUUUAAAGUAGGCUAAAUAACAUAUAAAUAAAAAAAAUAUUAAGUAAAAUGGUUUAAAAAAAAUAAUUAUAAAUAAUAAUAAUAAAUAAUAAUAGUACUAAUAGUACUAAUAAUGAUAAUAAUAAUAAUAUAAAAGAAUAAAAAAAUAAUGAUAUUAAUACGUAAAUAUAAAUAGAAAUAUAAUAUGUAGAUGAUAAACCGUAAUCUAUACAUAUUUUUAUCCUAUGCUCAGCACAUUUAUGGAUGGUUUCUCCUUAGAUUUGGUGAAUUCGAUGCUCUUAAUUCUUUAAUUUCAUGUUUUAUACUUAGGUGAGCAUAGGAGAGCAAAAAGAGUGAAAAACAGGCCGAAAAUGGAGAAAAUAGACCCACAUGGGAAAUCAACACGGCCUGGACUUCCUCACACGGGUAAGCUACACAGCUGUGUCUAUUUGGCAGGAUCGAAGCACGAAUUACACGAGUAGACUACACGCCAGUGCCUAUUUAACAGCCUUUACCACGGGCUGGAGUAAUCGCACACGGGCGUGUCUUUGUCAAGCCCAAGUAUAGUCCUAUUCGAAAAAGACCACUUUUGAGGGCUCUUAGGCAUUUUAAAGCCUAUUUAAAUACCUGAGGAGGCACUUAGAACACACAUACGGAGUAGGAGGCAAGGACUUACUCUAGGGAAGUUGAUUGAUCCAUCUCAGAAGCCGGAUUCAUCAUCAAGACUGAAGAUCUCCCUUCAAUUUCCAUUCAGGGGUUUUGGGUUUUCUUUAUGUUUUGUAUUCAUUAUUCUUCUGAGAUGUUUUCUUUUAUAAUUAUGAACUAAACCCCCUAAAUACUUAAGGGGAAUGAAACCAAAAAUGGAUCUUGUUAUUAUUAUCUGAAUUAUAUGAUAAAUAUUUGACUUGUUCUUAAUUAUGUAUUCUUAAUUCUUGUCUUAAUAUUCUAGGAUAUUGAUUCAAGUUAAUGCGCUUAUUCAGAGUAGCAAAAGUCCCUGUCUGAAAGUAAAUUUGUCAUAAUUAAGCUGGGUUGACUGCACGUCUAGAGAUAGCGUGAUAAGAUUUUACCGGAUUAGGGUGAAACCUAAUAAGGGGAUUCAUAAAUCAAAUUAAUCCAACACUAUGGUAUUAAUUAGAAAGAGAUUUCAAUUAAUCAACCUAGGGUUAGACGUUAUUAGUCACGAGAGAGAUAAUAAUAUAACUUAGGGAUUUCUAUGGAUCAAGUCAAAUGAAUAAAUCAUAUGAUUCAGAGUCAAAUAACAAGUGAAGUCUAGGUGGAUUUUUCAUUGGGUAUUGUCUUAAUAAAUCAAAUUUUCCCAAAAGCUUUUCCCUAAUUUCUCUUUGUGCACUCUUAGUUUAGUUAAUUAGUUUAGAUAAACAAAUCCUUUAAUUUUUAGGCUAGAUAAUAAAAAGAAAGUAAUUACUAGUACUCUUGGUUCCUCUAGGUUCGACAAUCCGGUCUUACUAAAGCUAUACUACAGUUCGAUAGGUACACUUGCCUUCAUCGUGAUAAUAGUUAGUUGUACACUUGCCUUCAUCGUGAUAAUAGUUAGUUUCAAGAACGAUUAAUUAUAAAUUUUUAAAACCUGUCACGAAUAUCACGUAUCAAGUUUUUGGUACCGUUGCCGGGAACCUAAGAUAUUAGGAACACUCGAUUUUUAUUACUCUAGCCAUUUUACUUUAUUUGUAAUUUAAAUUUUUAUUUUAUUUUCUAAUUUUUCUUUUAUUCGCUCCUAGUAGGUUUUUAUAGUGUAUGACUAGAAGAAACUCGUCAGGACCAUUACUGUUUGAUUGUGAGAUCGAUCGUACAGUUUUCAAAAAUCGAAGAGAAAUAAGGCAAAGCUUACGAUACACAGAGGAAGAGCAAGAAGACGAUACUUCAACCAUAAUCGAGGAGAUGGCUGAAAACCAGGAAAAUCUGCUACCUCCUGCGAUUGCCACUGAUCCAGUAAAUCAGAAUCCUACUCUGCGUACUAUGUAUGAUUAUGCUAAACCUUCUUUAACAGGAAAUGAAUCGAGCAUAGUUAGGCCUACUAUUGCUGCGAAUAAUUUUGAACUGAAACCUAACACCAUUCAAAUGAUCCAACAGUUUGUUCAGUUUGAUGGUUUGCAGGACGAGGACCCAAACGCUCAUUUGGCGAAUUUCUUAGAAUUUUGUGACACUUUUAAAAUUAAUGACGUUUCUGAUGAUGCCAUUCGCCUUCGGUUAUUCCCUUUUUCAUUGAGGAACAAAGCUAAACAAUAGUUGAACUCAUUACCACGAGGGUCAAUCACUACUUGGGAACAAAUGACCGAAAAUUUUUUAUUAAAAUAUUUUCCAUCGGCUAAAAUAGCCAAAUUACGUAAUGAUAUCUCCUCUUUUGUGCAGAUGGAUUUAGAAACACUCUAUGAUGCAUGGGAGAGAUACAAGGACCUUUUACGAAGGUGCCCUCACCAUGGGUUACCACUCUGGCUACAGGUUCAAAUGUUUCAAAAUGGCCUGAAUCCUUCGACUAGACAGAUUAUUGAUGCAGCUGCUGAUGGAACUAUCAAUAAUAAGACAGCUGAGGAUGCUUAUAAAUUUAUAGAAGAGAUGUCAUUGAAUAAUUAUCAGCGGUAAAUCAUGAGGACAAAGCCAACAAAAAUAGUCGGCGUUUUUAACGUCGAUUCGGUCACUAUGCUUUUUAAUCAGGUAGAACUUUUGAUUAGAAAAAUUGACGGUUUUUUCGUUCUUCACAGGUUCACCCAGUAAUGCAGUGCGAAACAAGUGGAGGUGGAUCAAGCAAUUCAGAAUAUCCACCCCAUGGCCACAACAUAGAGAACGAGCAGUUAAAUUACAUUGGCAAUAAUCCUUAAUCUCAAAAUAAUCCUUAUAGUAACAUUUACAAUGUAGGUUGAAGGAACCACCCAAAAUUUUUGGGGAGGCCACGGAAAUCAGAGACCACCACCACCUCUGGGCUUCCAACAACCACCCUACCAAUAGGAAAAGAAGCCAAACCUUGAGAAGAUGCUAACAAAAUUCAUUUCGGUGUCAGAAACUUAUUUUUAGAAUACCGAGACAACACUUAAGAAUCAACAAGCAUUGAUCCAAAGGCUCGAAACUCAGAUAGGCCAGCUUGCUAAAUUGAUAUUUAAACGCCCACAAGGUAGCCUGCCGAGUAACACUGAAUCUAACCCAAAAGAGCAGCUUAAUGCAAUUACCAUUCAAGAUGUGGAAAGGUUAGUUGUACCUGAACCAGAACCGGGGCAAGAAACUGUGGUAAGUAAAGGUAAAGGUGAGGUGGAUCACAAUGACCAAAAACAAGUAAGUACAGAGUAUAAACCACGUGUACCAUACCCAAAUGCGAUAAGGAAAGACCACUCAGACGAAUAAUUCGGGAAAUUCCUUAAACUUUUAAAGAAAUUACAUAUUAACUUACCGUUUAUUGAAGCUCUUUCGUAGAUGUCGAACGUAGUCAAAUUUUUAAAGGAGUUUUUAACGAAUAAGAGGAAGUUAGAUGAGGCGUCACAUGUGGAGUUAAAUGCAGUUUGCUCAGCCAUACUACAGAAUAAGCUAGCCAACAAAUUGAAGGAUCCAGGGAGUUUUACGAUUCCUUGUUUAAUUGGUAGCUUAGAUGUUAAUAAUGCUUUGGCUGAUUUAGGGGCUAGUAUCAAUGUCAUGCCUUAUAAAAUGUUUAAACAACUAGGUCUUGGGAAACCCAAACUAACUAGGAUGAUCAUUCAAUUGGCUGAUAAAACUAUCAGAUUUCCUAGGGGUGUUAUUGAAGACGUACUCGUUAAAAUUGACAAAUUUAUAUUCCCAGUUGAUUUCAUUGUUCUAGACACAGAGGAGGAUAGUAACGUGCCUUUAAUUUUAAGAAGGCCCUUUUUAGCAACUGCCAAAACGAUAAUUGAUGUUGGUACAGGUAAACUCACACUUUGUGUGGGAGACGAAACAAUCACCCUUCAAGCUCGUAAUUCGAAUAACACAUCAAAAAUUGAAGGUGGUUUUAUAAAUCAUACUACUAAAACUGACCAUGUGGUGUAACCUACUUUGCAGAAAACAGGUUCAGAGAACACACCUGAGCCAUGUUCGAGUAACGACAAAGGACCUAUAUAUGAAGAACGAAGGCUACAAAUCGAGAAACUAGAUGAAUGGCAGACACAUAAACCGAGGACACACGAGAAACCAAAACCAUGCCAUGACAGGCUCAAUAUCUCACCAAAUCAACUUAAGGUUGGAGACAAAGUACUACUAGAUGCAGCAGACCCUCGUAUUGCUACUUCUGAACCUAACGGAGCAAUCCCUCUUACGGUACUCAGUAUUUUCUCAUAUGGUAAAGUCGAGGUAAUUCAUCCCAAAUUUGGCACUUUUAAGGUAAACAAUACUCGUCUUAAACCUUAUGUAGAUAAAAUUGAUAGCAAGGAUGAGGAGUGUAAACUCUUCGCACCACCAUAACCAUGUAACAGAAAGGUAAGUCAAGCUUAGACUAUAAAUAAGCGCUUCUCGGGAGGUAACCCGAGCACUAACGAUGUUAACUUCUUUAAAAUUUUAGUUUUUGACAUUUAAUCACUAACUAAGUCAUUGAAACAAAGGUUUUCUAAUCCACACAGUCAAGCACAGGGGCGUGCCUUAGGUCGUGCUCACACCACGGGAGGAGACACGGCCGUGCGAUACGACUGUGUGAAAAGAGGGUAAAAUUUUUUCGUAACACGGGAUGCGAUAAGUUGCCACGGCCGUGCGACGUGGCCUUGGCCGAGUCUGUCAAACCAACACAGAUGUGCGACACGCCCGUGCCCAUCAACCGUGCUCAAGACUGAUAAAAUACCAUGAGCGUGAACAUCCAUACACGGGUAUGGGAGAAGCGAACGAAGUAGAACAAGGCCGUGCAACACGACCAUGUGCACCAACAAGCCUAAGGAACACGGGCGUGGGCCGAAUGCAAAACACGCCCAAAUUUAAAAAAUCGCGAAAUACACGGGUGUGCCCCACGAUCGUGUGCCUCAAAAUCUAUAUAUAUACUCCUUACUAUUCAUCACCCCCUUCCCCAAAAUCCCUAACCCUAGCCGCUGUAACUUCACACGCCCUAUCUGCCACGCCCAGGCGCCAAGCACAGCACCACCUUCGACGACCCAAAGCUCCUCUCUCUUGCGUUUGUUCACUUUUUUCCCCUAUUCUCUCCAUUCUUUUACUUAUUUCAUGAUAUUUUGUUUUAUUUUAAGUAAUUAAUCAUAGUUAUAAUGAUAGAAUACUUAUGCUCUUUGUUAAGAAAGUUUUCUUCUUAGUCAAUACAUUUUGCUACAUUCAUCCAUUUUUUUUGUUUCCAUAGAUUUCAUGCUUACCCACACCAUAUUUCAUACUCAUCAAACCCACAUGCAUUCAUUCACUAGAUAUUUCCGUUAGCAUUACUCUCGUAGUCCUAUUCAUAAUAAUGACUUGAUAUAUCUGCUUUGGUUGUUUUAGUAUAUUUUUCAUCUAGUACGUGAACCCCAUGAAAUAUUCUUAUUUAGUUUUAACACGCGUCAUUCUUGGGGAAUAUUUAACUUUGACUUUUCAUUAUAGGUAUACAAUGUCAACCUUAUGUGGUAAGAAGACCCCUAUCCCCGCCUCGAAAAAGAGGAAAUAAGCAGCAUCAUCCUCGGGUCCUACCGUGGAGAUUAGGCACCCAUUCCUCCAAUUUCCCUUGGGACCCCAGGAGGAACUAUUUCAGAUAUUACGGGCUCGACCCCUAGGUGUGGGCCGUUGCAUUGACUGGGCCGCACUUGAACAAAUUCAAAUAGCUGACGCGGUCCGAGCCCUCCUAAUGACUGACCCGUGUGGGCUCUUCUUUGAGAUCAUCGAGCCGACGUACCUCGAGCUCACAAUGAAACUCUGCUCGACCUUCUAUUUCUAGGUCAUCAUGACUAACUUCGACGAUCCUGGAACGAUCUAGUUCUACCUUGGUGGUCUAGUGCGCCAGUUGAGUGUACUGGAGUUUUGAAUUGCACUAGGGCUGUACAUGGAGGAGUUCAUGGACAAAAAUGAAAUAGACACCCUCCAUCGCCACAUCUACUACUCUCCCUCAAAGUGCUGGAAGAACCUCGUCCCUGCCUCGGCCACCUAUGAUCCUAGCCGCUCUAAGGCAUCAGCCCUCGCCUCAUCCCUGCGAUCCCUAUACGCCAUCUUGGCCCACACUCUGAUAGGACGGCGAGAGAGCACUGGCGUCGUCAAUACUCACGACGCCUCUUUCUUGUGGAGCAUGGUGAACGGGCACGUCUUCGACCUUGCCUAUUUCAUUGCCCACGCCAUCUGCUAUCAGACGGAGCGGCAUAGGAGAGGAGUCAUCUUUAUCGGGCCCUAUGUGACUCGAUUGGCUCGGAACUUUGGGCUCCUCAACACAGCGGCACAAUCAUCAUCCCUCACUCUCAUCGGCCAGAUGUCCCCACAGGGCAUCUCGAGCAUGUUACAUAUGAUGAUGAUCGAGAAACGACGUGGAACCUACCCUCCUCAGUACCGCCUCGUCCAGUCCACCGAUGAGGAGGACUUAGAGGACAUUACUGAUGAUGUCCCUCCACGUCAUGAGGACCCACCGUCUCAGCCACCACCCAUCCAUCGUCCAGUUCAUGCAGCGGCUUCAUACUCUGACAUCUCUGAGCACCUUACUCGAUUUGAGCAGCAGUGUUUUCAAUGUUUUGAUCACAUUGAUGCUACUCUUCAUCAGAUUUGUCAGCACCUUCACAUCUCAUCGCCACCACCACCUCACGAACCAUCCGGCGAUGACGAUGUUUAAAGACUUUUUAUUUCUUAUUUUUAUUUCCACUUUUAUCUUUAUUUAUCUUUUUUAAGUUCUUUUUAUUUUAUUUUCCUUUAAUAUUUUUUUAAUUUUAGGUUUUAUAACUUUUAUUGAAUAAUUUAUAGUUUUGGCUAUUUCAUUACGAGUAAUUAUGCUUCCUUAUAUUUCCUAAAGAGUUCUUGAUUUUAUCACAGUUAUAAAGAGCUCCAAAGCUCAUCAUCACUUAGGAACUAAAAACUCCACUGGAAAAGGUUCUCCACGACUGCCACGUCCUGCUCAACCACGACCAUAGAUACUACCAAAUAUAAUAUUCUUUUGGCGCAGGACUUAUGGACUAAUGAACCUCUACCAUCACCGGAGUAUCCUCCUCCACUCUCGUCAUUUCCUUGGCCGAUUAUUCUCCAUAACUCCAAUUCCAGGAGUUCAUUCACCAUUCAGGAAGUUUCACUUCUCUCCCUAUCUUAUGAUUAUAGAUCUAUAUUUUUCAAUAUAUCUAUCUUUGUACAUUGAGGACAAUGUACAUCUUAAGUGUGAGGGGUCUUUUAUAUCAUUAUUAGGAAUCCCUGAAUUUUGUCUUGUUCUCAUGUGAUCUUCCCAUACCACUAUUAGAAUGAAUUUUGAUUAAAUUAUGAUUUUUAUUGAUAUGUCUUGAAUUAAAACAUAGGCAUUUAUGCAUUGAUCGUUUAAACUUUAAGACAUUGGGGAAUCAAGCAUGAUAAGUUGAUUUUUGAAAAUUAAAAAUUUUUAGGUUAUUUCCCCAAGUUUAGAUAUUAUCUUGAGUUGAAAUUCACAAGUUUAAACAUCAAAAAGCCAUAAUUUUUGUGAGAUCUUGAGCCUUUAGAGCAUAUGUUAUUUCUUUCAUGCCCACUUUUAUUAUGAGUGUGUCAGUAUUGAUUUGUUAUUCUAGAACUUGCUUGAUUAUGCAUGUCAAGACCACACCAUUUGAUUUGAUAUGUCGAGAUGAUAAAGGCACUUAGGUUUAAGCCACUCAUUCCACAAAAGCCUACCUUCAUAAUUAACCCUUAGUGAACCCCUUUGAGCCUAACAAGCCAUUAAUUGAUUUACCCUCAAUAUUAACCCAUAACCCAUUAUUGUUGAAAUCCCCUAAUUUGAUCCCUAUUUUUGUCAAGAUUUGAUUUGAAUUAAUUGCUUAGCUAUGUUUUAUUCUUCUUUGUAAUAAUUAAGUUCUAAAUAUUUGACUUGUUCUUAAAAAAAAUACUUACAUACAUAUUAGUAGUAAUUCGUCAUUUUUGAGCUUGAGUGUUAAUUCCAUAUUCUGAGAAGAAGCUCAUUGGUAUUCAACUGAUAAUUAGUUAUUUUUCUAAUUAGGUGAUUUUUUUUAAAUCAAUCUCGAUUCUAACCUUUUCUUUCAACUUGUGACCACACCCCCUAACCAAAGCCACGUUUCAACCAUCUAAAGACCUUUUUGAUUGAUGUAUCAUUUCAAUAUAUAGUGGUGGAGAUUGAUUUUCAUGCAAGCCUAAGGUGAUAACUUUUCAUAUUGACUAAUGAGUGCUUUAUUUGAUGUCCUUAAACACCUUGAGUGAUUUGAGUGAAUCUUUAGUGAGGAUGUUAAACUCUGUGAUAUUUUAAUCAAAGGUGGUUACUUAGAUGAGGAGGGACACCUAUGUUUUCAUGAUAAAAUGCUCAACUUGGAAUGUUUGAAACUUUGAUGUACUUUUAAUUAAAUUUUUAAUGUAUGAUUACUUAUGGAUUAUUUUGAGAUAUUAUUGAUAGGGAUUAUAAAUUGAGAAGAAUUUAUUUUGAUUGUGAGUUGAGGAUUUUGCUUGAGGACAAGCAAAUGCUUAAGUGUGGGGGUAUUUGAUAAUCCAUAAUCUAUACAUAUUUUUAUCCCAUGCUCAGCACAUUUAUGGAUGGUUUCUCCUUAGAUUUGGUGAAUUCGAUGCUUUUAAUUCUUUAAUUUCAUGUUUUAUACUUAGGUGAGCAUAGGAGAGUAAAAAGAGUGAAAAAACGGGAGGAAAACGGAGAAAAUGGACCCACAUGGGAAAUCAACACGGCCUGGACUUCCUCACACGGGUAAGCCACACGGUCGUGUCCAUUUGGCAGGAUCAAAACACGACUUACAUGAGUAGAAUACAUGCCCGUGCCUAUUUAACAGCCUUGACCAUGGGCUGGAGCAAUCGCACACGAGCGUGUCAUACGGGCGUGUCCCUGUCAAGCCCAAGUAUAGUCCUAUCCGGGAAAGGCCACUUUUGAGGGCUCUUAGGCAUUCUAAAGCCUAUUUAAAUAUCUGAGGAGUAAAUAUCUGAGGAGGCAUUUAGAACAUACACAUAGAGUAGGAGGCAAGAAAUUACUCAAGGGAAGCCGAUUGAUCCAUCUUAGAAGCCAGAUUCAUCGUCAAGACUAAAGAUCUCCCUUCAAUUUCCAUUCAGGGGUUUUGGGUUUUCUUUAUGUUUUGUAUUCAUUAUUCUUCUGAGAUGUUUUCUUUUAUAAUUAUGAACUAAACCCCCUAAAUACCUAAGGGGAAUGAAACCUAAAACGGAUCUUGUUAUUAUUAUCUGAAUUGUAUGAUAAAUAUUUGACUUGUUCUUAAUUAUGUGUUCUUAAUUCUUGUCUUAAUAUUCCAGGAUAUUGAUUCAAGAUUAAUACGCUUAUUCAGAGGAGCAAAAGUCCCUGUCUAAGAGUAAAUUUGUCAUAAUUAAGCGGAGUUGACUGCAUGCCUAGAGAUAGCGUGAUAAGAUUUUACCAGAUUAGGGUGAAACUUAAUAAGGGGAUCCAUAGAUCGAAUUAAUGCAACACUAGGGCGUUAAUUAGAAAGAGAUUUCAAUUAAUCAACCUAGGGUUAGACGUUAUUAGUCUCGAAAGAGAUAAUAAUAUAACUUAGGGAUUUCUAUGGAUCAAGUCAAAUGAAUAAAUCGUCUGAUUCAGAGUCAAAUAACAAGUGAAGUCUAGGUGGAUUUUUCCUUAGGUAUUGUCUUAAUAAAUCGAAUUUUCCCAAAAGCUUUUCCCCAAUUUCUCUCUAUGCACUCUUAGUAUAGUUAAUUAGUUUAGAUAAACAAAUCCCUUAAUUUUUAAGCUAAAUAAUAAAAAGAAAGUAAUUAUUAGUACUCUUGGUUCCUUUGGGUUCGACAAUCCGGUCUUGCUAAAGCUAUACUACUGUUCGAUAGGUACACUUGCCUUCAUCGUGAUAAUAGUUAGUUUCAAGAACGAUUAAUUAUAAAUUUUUAAAACCUGUCACGAAUAUCACGUAUCAAUAGAAAUAUAAUAAUAAUAGUUUUAAAAUCAUAUAAGAGGACAUAAAUAAAUAAAUAACAACACGAUAUAAAUAAAUAAAUAAAUAAAAUGUUAAUAACAAGAGUAAAAAAACAUAUAUAAGAAAAAUAAUAAUGAAAAUAAUAUUAGUAUAUAAAUAGAAAUAGAAAUAUAAUAAAUAGAAAUAUAAUAAUAGUAUAAAUAUAAAUAGAUAAAUAAUAAUUAGAUAAAUAAUAAUAGUAUUAGAAUAAAAAAAUAAAUAUAAAUAGAAACAUAAUAAUAAUAGCAAUAAUAUAUUAAAUUAGUUAAUUUGAUAAAAAAAUAGCAAAAAUAAAAAAGGAUUAAAUCAAACCUUAAAGUAAAAUUUUGGGGCAAAUCAAAAAUAAAUAAAAGGAAAUGGACCAAUUUGAACUUGCGAAUAACAAGGAGGGACUAAAAGGGAAAUAAUCCCCAUCCUCCAAAACGCACAGCUUCAAGGAAGACCAAAAUGCAGUCAAAACAAAUUUUAGGGCAACAAUUAAGAAUAAUGAAAACUUAAUUGCAAAACAAUAAGAAAAGGGAAGGGCUAAAAGCAAUUGGACAAAUUUAGAAAAAAACAAAGAAAUUGAAAUGAAAUAGACAAAAUUCCCACGUAAUUGAAAGAGAAGAAAAUAAUUCCAUUCCAAUGGAGAUAGGAAAAGAGAGAAUAAUUCAAUUUCCAAUUGAAGUAGGAAUACCGAAAGUCCUCCCUUUCAAAGAACAAAAUACCCCUAUUUAUAUACAUGGGGUUUACUGAAAACAACCUAACUAAUUUAAUAAAUUAAAAUUAAAAUAAAAAUAAUAUAGUAUCUUCCUAUUUUUGGCCUUUUACCAAGUCAAUAGAAUUUGAUAACUCCUUGGCUUUCUCAAUCUUUUUGAUUUGGCCCCAAUUUAAUGAUUGUCUUUCAAUUUGACCAUUUUUUGCUUUAUUUAUUCAGUUAUUAUUUUUUCCGGGCCCAGGCCAAAAUUGGUCUAUUACACGCAUGAUUUACAAAAUGUGAAAUUUUGGUACCAUGUGGACAUAUGUGAUUUGCAUGUUAAGCAUGCCUAUGUGAUUUUAAGUGAAAAGUGAUAUAAUGAGCAUGCCUCAUAUGCCAAAGUGAAAAAUGAUUUUUUUAAGUGAAAAAGUUAUUUUGACCAUAUCACAUGCAUGGGGUAGGAUAUGUGAAAGGUGAAAGUAUGUGGUAAUUUAUCUGUAUUAACGUGACACUAUUCACGAUUUUGAUUAUGUGGUAGGAUAUCUGCAAUUUUGGUGGCUUGUCCACAAUAUUGCUUAUUGGCUGUUUAUCUACGAUUUUGGUGAUAUUGUUCACAAUUUGGUGUGUUGGAUGGACGAGUUAUGAGGAACUCGAUUUUGGUGUGUGGCGGAGAUUGGUAGGACUGUUUUCAUAAAGUCUGCAUCGUUUUACAAAAUGUUCUUUGAAAUGAUCAUGCAUAGUAUAAGUGUGAAAGAUUGAGUUAUAUGAAAUUGAUAUGAUUAUUAUGAUUGUACAAUGCAUAUGUUUAUAUGCAUGUGAUUGUGUUUAUGUUAAUCUCACACUGAGCUUUAUAGCUCACCUCCUUUUAGUUUUUUGAUUUUACAGAAAACCCGAGGUUAGGAUUCGAUGACGGCAUUUGGAGGAGUUUCUCGGAAGUCUUUUUAAAUUAAAGUAAUUAAAUUUUAUUUUGAUAUGUUGAUAUUUUGCAUUUGUAAUAAAUUUGAGUAUGGACUAUGGCAUGAGACUUUAUUUUGAGGAUUUUUCAUUCUGAUUUGCAUAAAUUGCUUGCAUGACAUUAAGUUUUAAAAAUUGUAUAAAUUAGUAUCCGAUAAGAUUUUGCUUGAAGCUCAGUUUUUAAAAUAGAAUCUGUCAAUAACAUAUUUUUCCGCUACAUUUCUAAAAAAUGAGUUUUAAAAAAAAUAAAAUUAGCCUUAGUUUUCAAAAUUAUUAAUGUUUACAAAUGAGUUUUCUAAAGACAUUUGAUUUAUGAAGUUAAUAUGUUUUUAUUUUCGAAAUAAUGAAGAUUAACCAAGUUAUCCAAUUUUGAAUAAAAAGACAACUGAUUUAGAAGUAUGAUUGAAAAUCCAAAAUAAUUUUGAAUAAAUGAUUGAAUGUUUAAAAUUCAGAUAUUAUUUAUUUUGAUUCCUGAAAUUUUCACGAUUUUUAUGAAAUUAAAAUAAACGUUUUAUUUCAUUUGUUUUGAAUUGAUAAGUCAAUAGUUUUAAAAUAUUUUUUUUUCAAAAUUCUGAAAGUUUAUUUCAGCCAUUUUCGUGGAAAAAUGGUUUUUGAAAUGAGAUUGAAAAUAAAGUUGAACAUUCAAUUUUACUAGUUUUGAACGAAUUGCACAAAUGGUUUAAAAUAAAAUAAAAUAAGUACAUUUGAAACCAAUAAAGUGUUUUUCUGGGUCAUUCCGGUGGCCAAUGUAGCCUUCCGAAUUCAGCCAUAACGACUAGGCCGGGUUUGAGAUGUUACAAUAUGAGGCACAAAAAAAACUUGAGAAGCACAGGUUUCUUUCUAUUCUCCUUCAUCUUCUAAUAUUCCUAGAUUGUUUUGUAAAGAAUUACUGCAAAAGUUCUUUAUAGAAAUUGAUAGUGUUGUUAUACCAUGCUCAAUGCUUAAUAGACUGUUUCCGUUAGUGCAAAAUGUCAACGAUCAUCGGGCUUCAUUGUAUCAUCGAGGUUCAUUUGCUAGAAACUAUUUUACACACCAAAACAUAGGUAGGGGUGAAUAGAACGCUAAAUUUAGUGACAUGAUUAUACAUGUCGAAACCAUUUUUUUUGAAAACGGGCAUUGACUUUGUUUGAAAGCGAAGAUUAAAACGUGAGUCGCCACCGAUCUUUAUUAGGUGUGAUUGGAUCACCUUUGUUUUAAUAAAACAUUUUAGCUUACUAAAACGGUAUUUGGUCUACGAAACUCGAGAGAAUGGGAUCGGGAAUCGAUUAUGUGCGAGGAAGGAUUAGCACCCUCGUCACGCCCAAAAUUGGUACCGAAUUGAUUAGUUAGUGUCUUAAUGUCGAAAGUUGAAAAUCGAGAAUGGAUUUAAAAUAUGAUCCUUUUUAUUAACGUCGAUUUUAAAAAUGCUUGAAUUAGAUCAAAACAAUUGCUAAAGAUUUUCUUGUCUCGAGAUAUCGGGGUAUCACAUCCUGUAACACCCAAAUACCCGUAUCCAUUGCUGGAAUAGGGUCACAUAACAUAACCUGCUCAACUCCUCUAUAGAACACUUCGCGUACAUAAGAAUCAGAUUUGCACUUUUCAGUUUCAAUAAUUUCGAAUCCAAUGUAAUUAAAUAAUUAUAACAACAAUAGCAUGUUUCCGUGAGUAACUUCUAUAGUAUGCGCAUACAAAAGGGUAAAAGUGUAAAGUCUUGAGCUUAAUGUAUAACAUCAUACAACUAAAACUUUUCUAUUCAUUUGGUGAUUUUUCUCCUCUUGACCGAAUACACAUACAUAAUAUAUAUCUCAAAUACUUAACAUGUUAGUUCAAGCAUAACAUAAUCACACUCAUAUCACAUCUAUGAACUUAUAUGUCAAGUUGAUUAACACUUCAAGAUUUAUAUAUAAACCAUUAUCAAAUCCAUACAUAGGACUUUAGCCAUAUUAGCAUGGCUUUAUAUACAAUACUAUCAAAAUAGCAAACCUCCCAAAAUAUUAUCCUAUACAUGCCAUAAUGUCUACUAGAGUUUUAAACAAAGGUACCAAAAAGGUUGUCAAAAGAUGCGAUGACUUCGUAACGGUUCCAAGCUUUCAUCGACAAGAUGAUCUAUACAAAACCAAUAAACACAUCAAGUGAGUUAUUAACUCAGUAAGUCCUAAGAAAUUUCAAGAAUGUAAUAACCCUAUUAAAUUAGCAAAAUAAAAUUUCAAUCCAAUACUAGCCGAAUUCAGCUAUGAUAUCACAAGGAAAUCUUAUGUCACAUACGUACAUUAUGAAUUUGGUACAUACUUACCCGAAUUCACUAUGUACUCCUACACCAUUUAAUGACAAAUUGAAAAUACCAUGGUAAAUGUCAUAUACAAAUCAUUGGCGUAUAUGUAAAUGACAUACAAUGUCCAAUUAUUUAAAUAAAGCACUAACCAAGCCACUCCAUCUAUCAAUCCAAUCUCCAAUCUAUUUAGAUUCAUUUAUCACUACUUUAUAUCUUUGUUCAAUUAUAUACUAAUUGAGCCGAUUACCUUUCUCUUCUUUCUCUCUUCCCAAGCAUUAUAUAUUAAUACACAUAUUAGAAUCAAAUCCCAUGUCUAGUAUCCAUGCACAUUUCAUUACUCCCAAUUUAAUGUUUUAAUGAAUUUUAAUUUGCACAAGUAGUGCUCCACGAUCGAUAUCGCACACUUAGUGCUCGAUUUGAAAGUCCGCACACAUAGUGCUCUUAAUUAUUUGCACACAUAGUGCCACGUUUUCUCGCACACAUAGUGCCAUGUAAUCUCGCACACAUAGUGCCGCAUAGCCUUGCACACAUAGUGCUGUAUUUUCUUAUCUAUUGCUACCACAAUAUCAUAGAUAGGUCAAUAUUUUCACAUUCGAUUUUCAAAAACUCAUACAUACCAUGGUUUCUUAUCCAACUUAUUUUGUGUCAUUUAUGUGCAAUGUUAACCAUAGCUUAAAUUACUUAAGGACUUACUUUUUAGUCGGAUGAACAACUCUGAUUGGCUAUUCAACCGCUUUCGCUUUCCCUUUGGCCGAACAUGGCUCCCUUUGAUCUUGAGCUCCAACUAAGCAAAUAAAAUAACUCAAUCAUUGUAGCCCCAAUUUAUAUUCAUUCCUCAUAGACACACACACAGAUUCGGUAUUCCAUCUAAUAUUAACCAAGCCAUAACAAUAUAACAUUUAAAUAUUCAAGAUUUAUCACCUAAUAACUAAAACCGAUCAUCAAAUUUAUUGAACCAUUUUUUUUAUUCCUUCAAGACCCCAUUCGGCAUUUGCCCACACAUAAUUUAAAAUUUAACCUUUAAACUUAAUGCAUAUCCAAACAUACUUCUCAUCUAUUCCAUUAAUUCGAUACAUAUACAAGAUCAAUUUUGGCAACUCACAUUUCCAAAUUUUUCAAUACUCAACAAUUUGUCAAUUAAUUAGCUAAGCUCAUUUUCAGUUAGUAUUCAUUUAAAUGCUAUCAAGCUCAUAUACUUCUAAUUUCAUGAGUUCAACAUCUUAAUGCCCAUUUUGAUCACUCAAAUAAAUUUCCAAUACAUAAAUUAAGAAUAAAUUUCCAAUACAUAAAUUAAGUCACUCAAACAAUCUUAAUUUAAAUUCGGCAAACACACAUACCAAACUAUCUUAGCCAAAUUCUCCAUAACACUUAAACUAAAAUAUGCACAUUAAACUUACUCAAUUUUCAUUAUGCCUUUCACUCCUAAAACAUAAAAAUAUCAAUCUUAUUCCUUCAUCCAUGUCUCGGUCAAUUGCUCAAAUUACCCCAUAAACAUGAAUUUUGCACUUUAACUUAUCUACCAUGACUCAUUCGGCCUUAACACUUAUUUGAACCAUUUCUCAUACAAGAAAGUAAAAAUAAAAUGAACAUUCCAUUUAAACCCCAUAUGACCGAAUGCACAAAGUAUUACCCAACUAACAAUUCAACAAGUUUAACCUCAUUCUAACAUCUACUUAUUCAAUAUAACAUGAAAACAACCUCUAAUUCCAACAUCUUGAUUCACGGCCUAGUGCCCAAACCACCAUAGAAAUUUGAUUUGCUUGACAUGGCCAAGAAAUGCAUUUAACAAUUAACUUAAACAUAUAAAAAGAUUUCAAAAUCACUUCAAAACUUACCUCCAACUAGCAAAAGAAGGUGCCGAAUUGCCUUAAUGUAAUUUCUCUUUUUCUUUCCUUUUGUUUUGGUUUUGCAAGAAGAAGAAGAUGAACACUUAUGUUUCAGUCUCUUCUUUUAUUCAUCUUUUUAUUUUUAAUUCAUAUUAUUUAUGAUAUUUUAAUCACUUAUCAAUAUAAUAUUUUAAUUAAAUUAAACUUAGUGGAGGGACAUCAUUACUUGGCCGGCCACUUAAUGCAUAUUGGGCAUUUUGACAUGCAAACCCAAACUUUCCUCACACAUUUACCUAACAUAUUUUCUAAGUUUCUCAACUAAGUCCUUUCAAGUGAAAUUCACAUUCACAUGACUAAAUUAAAACAUCAAAUUUUUCACACAUGCACUAUCACACAUAGAAGAUAUGAAAAUUAAUUUUUAAUGAAUUUUAUGACUCGGUUUUGUGGUCCCGAAACCAUAUUCCGACUAGGGUCAAAUUAGGGCUGUCACACAUCCCGUAAGUUAGGACACAAUACCAUGAACUCCCGAGCACAAGUUUAUCUUUAAUUUUAAUUGAAAUUUCAUGUGUCUUGAAACUUAAAGGGAUAUUUGGCCAUUUAGAUUUAACGAGAAAACCGAAAUCCCGUAAGUUAAGGUACGAUUCCUCGAAUUUCCUAAAACACAAAAUAUUGCCUUAUUUGGAAACUUUUCUUUUUGAAAUAUAGUGAGUAUGAUAUUUAACAACGUACAUUUAUUUUGUUUGGAAAAAAUAAAAUGAUCCAUAUUUGAUAAACAUGUUGGAGCUUAACACAUGACAUGAUUUAAAAUAAAAUAAAAGGUACUAUAAAGCAUGGAAUAUUAAUACACGAAUUAGAUGCAAGGUUAAUGAGUGUCAACAAUAUGAGGAUGCUAAAUAAACAAUUUCAAUAACAUGUAAUGGCAAUAUUCACACGACGUACAUCGUUUUUAAUAUCAACCUUAAUAAACAUAGAAAUGAAGUAAUAAUAAAAAACAGCCUAAAACAAAUAAUAAGAUAAUUUUAAAUAAACAAUAUGUACAUAAAAGUUUUAAAAUAAAUACUAUAAAAGCAAUCUAAAGUAAAUAAUACAAAACAAUUUAAAAUCAUUAAUAAAAUGUCUAAAAUAAAUAAUACGUAAAAAAAUUAAAAUAAAUAAUAUACAUAAAAUAAAAACAGUUUAACAUAAAUAAUGUAUAUAAAAAAAUAAUGUAUAAAGAGUUUAAGAUAAACAACAUAUAAAAAUUUGAAAAUAAAUAAUUCAUAUAAAAAGGAAGUUUAAGAAUAAACAUUAUAUGAAUUUAUAAUAAUAAAUAGUUCAAAAAUAAUAUAUAAAAAGAAUUUAAGAUAAAUAAAUAAAAAAACAAUAUGAAGUAAUUAAUAUAUAUAAAAUAAUUCAAAAUGACAUGUAUUAGAAAACAGUUUAAAAUAAAUAUUAUAUAAAAAUUUAAAGUAAGUAAUAUAUAAAAUAGUUAAAAAUAACACACAAAAAUAUAUUUAAAAUAAACAAUACAAAACAGUUUAAAAUAACUAAUAUAAAAGGUUUAAAAUAAAUAAUAUAUAAAAUAGUUUAAACUACAUAAUGUAUAUAAAUUUAAAAUAUAUAAUAUGUAAAAGUUUAAAAUAAAUAAUGUAUAUAAAAAAUUAAAAUAAAUAAUAUGUAAAAUAAUUUAAAAUAGUAUAUAAUGAAACAGGUCAGGGAUUGAAUUGAAGUCGAAGUAAAAAUAUGGGGCAAAAAUUAUAAAUAAUGAAAAAUAGGCCACCAAGGACCAAAAUGAAUCACGCUGAAAUUACGAGGGACUAGCUAGGAAAUAUUUCCAGCCUUUAUUCGUAUCAUUUCAGUAGGGACUGAAAUGAAAUCAGAAGAAAAUUAUCCGGCCAGAUUUUAAAAAAAUAAAGAAAGUGAAAGAAAGGGUGAAAUUGCAGCGCGCACAAAGGCGGAGGGACCUCGCGCAUAAAUAUCCCAAUAAUGGGAAACACGCGGAUCCCCCCUGAGUACGGGUCGGAUUCGGGUCGACCUUUCCGAAAACGACGUCGUUUUGCACCUGGGAAGGCCACCCAAAAUGCUGCCGUUUUUGUGCUUUCUAUUAAAGCAAUUUUUUUUUCUCUUCAUUUCUGCACUCCUUUUUUAAAAAACAGAGAGUUCUUUCUUUUCUUUUUUUUUACUCUCUCCCUCUCCCUUUUAAAACUCUCCUCCACAUUCGGCCUAUAAGGCUGCUUGGUGGUCCGUUACAACCGUUGGCCGACGACGGCGGUGGAGCGCAACCCAGGUACGCCCUUUUCCUCUCUUUUUUUUUUUUAAAUCUAUGCAUUUUUUUAUUAAAAUAGAUUUUUUAAAAGAAGGAAGUAAAUGAAUAAACAUAAAAAACAAAGAUAAACAGAAAAUGAAAGAAAGAAAAAAAAGAAAAAGAACAAAGCAAAACCUUUUAAAACUUCCGUUUUAUUUCUUUUCUGAUUUUUAGUGUGUGUAAAAAGUUUUUGUAAAAAACAGAAAAAGAAGAUACAAUGAGAAGGUUGUGGCUUUUAAAGCCAAGUUACAAGACUUUUCUUUUCUAUUUUUUUUUUGUCUUUUUGCUCUUGUUUCUUCUACUACUUGUGUGUGCCUUUUUUGCUUGCGAGUUGCAGGUGGUUGUCAGAGGCGUGCGAUGCAGGUGAUAGGCGAGCCGAGUGGCGGUGGUGGCGCGCAUGAGGGGCUAAGCGGCGGCUGCAAUGCUAGGGUUCCUUCACUUCUUUUUUUCUGCUGAAAAUGUUUUGGGUUAAUAAGGCUAGGGUUUAGGUUAUUUGGGCCUGUUGGGCUUGUUGGGUUUUGAUUGGGCUAUUGGGUUUAAUAUGUAAGUAGACAUUUAUUUUGGGCUAUUUAAUUAUUUGUUUAGGUUUAUUGUUUUUUUUUGUUUUGUUGACUUGGGCCAAAAUUGGCUAUUACAAUACACUUUGAAGCUUUCGCUAAUUUUUCAUAAAUUCAUUUUUUUAUCCUUAUGCACUGACAAUGUCCCAUAGAUGUAGGAAGUUUUUUAACUAUGGGGACUUUGUUCUGGUGUCCA